RNAcentral lists this long non-coding RNA (56294 nucleotides) under Sorghum bicolor (sorghum). RNAcentral describes it as "long non-coding RNA (SBIC_LNC007101)". The record is from RNAcentral. Lineage: Eukaryota; Viridiplantae; Streptophyta; Magnoliopsida; Poales; Poaceae.
UGUUAUAUGCUUACCAAGGGUGAGAAGGGUGUGCAUGCUAAGUUUGUUGGUACACCAAUUAUGGGUCCAAAGAAGAAGGCCAUUUGGGUACCAAAAAGCUUAGUCACUAACCUCUAAGGACCCAAACAAGUAUGGGUACCUAAGAAACAUUAAUUUGUUUUGUAGGUAAAUUACAAAGCCGGAGGAAGGCAUUGGAUUCUUGAUAGUGGGUGCACUCAACACAUGACUAGUGAAUCAAAAAUGUUCCAAGAAAUCAAGCUAAAUGAUGGUGAUGUGAGGAGUAUCACAUUUGGUGACAAUAGUAGAGGUGAUGUGAUUGGUCUUGGCAAGAUUGCAAUUUCAAAUGAUAUGUCCAUUUCCAAUGUGAUGCUAGUGGAGAGCUUGAACUUCAAUUUGCUAUCAAUUGCUCAAUUGUGUGGUCUUGGCUACAAGUGUAUAUUUGGUGUUGAUGAUGUUGAAGUGGUUAGUGUUGAUGGAUCAAAUGUUGCUUUCAAGGGGUUUAGAUAUGGCAAUCUCUAUCUUGUUGAUUUCAACACUGAAGCUCAAUUGUCAACAUGCUUGCUCUCCAAAUCAAGCAUGGGUUGGCUAUGGCAUAGAAGGCUUGGUCAUGUUGGAAUGAAGCAACUCAACAAGUUAGUGAAACAUGAUCUAGUUAGAGGCCUGAAGGAUGUCACAUUUGAAAAGGAUAAGCUUUGUAGUGCAUGUCAAGCCGGAAAGCAAGUUGGCAACACUCAUCCAAAGAAGAGCAUCAUGAGUACUUGUAAGCCAUUUGAGUUGUUGCAUAUGGAUUUAUUUGGGCCAACAACAUACACCAGUAUUGGAGGCAACAAAUAUGGAUUUGUGAUUGUGGAUGAUCUCACUAGAUACACUUGGGUGGCAUUUCUUAGUGACAAGAGUGAUGUAUAUGACAUCUUCAAGUUAUUCAUCAAAAGGAUGCAAAAUGAGUAUGAAACCACCAUCAAGAAAGUGAGAAGUGACAAUGGAAGUGAAUUCAAAAACACAAGAGUUGAUGAGCUAUGUGAUGAGUUAGGAAUCAAGCAUCAAUUCUCGGCAAAGUAUACAACACAAUCCAAUGGGCUAGUUGAAAGGAAAAAUAGAACUUUGAUUGAUAUGGCAAGAUCAAUGCUAAGUGAGUACAAUGUGAGUCACUCAUUUUGGGCCGAAGCAAUCAACACGACAUGCUUCUAUAACAAUAGACUCUAUUGUCAUCCAUUUCUAGAGAAGACACCUUAUGAGAUAUUGAAUGGAAGAAAGCCCAACAUAUCAUACUUUAGGGUAUUUGGAUGCAAAUGCUACAUAUUGAGAAAAGGCACUAGAUUGACCAAGUUUGACAAGAAAGUUGAUGAAGGCUUCUUGCUUGGUUACUCCACUUCAAGCAAAGCAUAUAGAGUAUGGAAUUUGGGAAGUGGUCAACUUGAGGAAGUGCAUGAUAUUGAAUUUGAUGAAACUCAAGGCUCUCAAGAUGAAGAAGAAAACUUGGAUGAUGUGAGAGGCACACAAUUGGCCGAUGCAAUGAAGAAAAUGGAAAUUGGUGAUAUUAGGCCAAGAGAGGUAAUUGAUGUUGAAGAUGACAAAGAUCAAGUGCUUCCUACCUCUAAUGUGCAAGCUAGUGGGUCUCAUGACCAAAUUCAAGCUAGUUCAUCAUCUCAAGUGCAAGAUCAACAACAUGAAGCUAGUGCACCAUCUAAAUCAAGUGAUCAACCAAGUGCAAGAAAUCAAGUGCAAAUACUCCAACCAACAAAUAUUGCAAGAGAUCAUCCAUUGGAUCAUAUCAUUGGUGAUAUAUCAAGAGGUGUGCAAACUAGGUCAAGAUUGACAUCAUUUUGUGAACAUUUCUCAUUUUAUCAUCCAUUGAACCAAAGAAGAUAGAAGAAGCUUUGAGAGAUGUUGAUUGGAUAAAUGCAAUGCAUGAAGAGCUAAAUAAUUUUACUAGAAAUCAAGUAUGGGAGUUAGUAGAGAGGCCUAAGGAUCAUAAUGUGAUUGGAACCAAGUGGGUCUUUCGAAAUAAACAAGAUCAAGAUGGGAUAGUAAUAAGGAACAAAGCAAGAUUGGUAGCACAAGGUUACACACAAGUUGAAGGUCUUGACUUUGGAUAAACAUAUGCCCCAGUUGCUAGAUUGGAAGCAAUUAGGAUCUUGUUAGCCUAUGCUUGUGCUCACAAUAUUAAGCUAUAUCAAAUGGAUGUGAAGAGUGCAUUCUUGAAUGGAUAUAUAAAUGAGUUGGUUUAUGUUGAGCAACCUCCUGGUUUUGAAAAUGACAAGAAGCCCAAUCAUGUUUACAAGUUGAAGAAAGCUUUGUAUGGUUUGAAACAAGCACCUAGAGCAUGAUAUGAGAGGUUAAUGGAUUUUUUACUCUCUAAAGGGUUUAUUAUGGGUAAGGUUGACAUCACUCUCUUCACUAAAAGGAUAGGCAAGGACUUAUUUGUGUUGCAAAUCUAUGUCGAUGACAUUAUAUUUGGUUCAACCAAUCAAGAUUUUUGUGAAGAGUUUGGAAAGAUGAUGGCAAAAGAAUUUGAGAUGUCCAUGAUUGGAGAGCUUAGUUACUUCCUUGGUCUUCAAAUCAAGCAAAUGAAGAAUGACACAUUUGUAAGUCAAGGCAAGUAUAUCAAAGACAUGCUCAAGAAAUUUGGCAUGGAUGAUGUGUUGACGGUCCUUAAGUAUCAAAUUUAAUUAUCAAAUAAACAAAGAAAAGGAUCCAAAUGAAAUCAACAUCUAGACUUAGGGUUUUAUCUAACAGAAUUCCACGAGUUUUGGUGUUUGUCUAUUUCUGCAGGGGGUUAUCAAGAAAUACGGAAGAAAGCCCCACACGUCGAGAUUACAUAGAGAUAUUAACGUGCCGCGCAAUUAUCUUACAUCUAGAAGACUCCAGAAGCCACGGGAAGAAAGCGGAGGCCGAACGGGGCCAGAGGUAGGGCGCCCACCCUCCUUCCCUGGGCGCCCACCCUGACUUGGAGUCCAAACAGGACUCUGUUUUGUGGAAGAUCUCCACCGACCUAAAGGAUCAAGGAUAACCGUUCAAUCUAAGUCGGUUUGAUCCAACGACCCAUAUUCACUUGAAGGGACUAUAAAACCAGACCCCCUGGCCCCUGGAGGAGAGAGCCUCUCAACCCUAAUUCAUUAUUCUUCAAGGGAGAAGAAGCCCCUGAUCAAGAUUAGAGCCACCACAUCAAUUAGACAUCUAGAUUAGCAUAGCUACAUAGGAUUAGAACUAGAAGGAGUCAAUCUUCGAUUGGUUUUCGGAUCUGUCAAGAGGAUUCUUGGUAAUUCUCUAAUUGUGCUUCUAAUUAUUCUUCUAAUCAUCUUUGUUCUUCAAUAUUAUGAAUAUGACUUUGUUCUACUUUAAUAUAUUGCUUAUGACUUUGCUCUACUUGUUUAUAUUCAAGAUUAUAUUGUUCUUAGUUUAUCAUAGUUAUAUACUUGGCUUAGUUAGUGUGGCAGAACCUCCUAAGUGUUUGGGCCCACCGACACCUGCCAUUGUCCUAAGGACCUCUGACGGUGAUGCCGGGAGUCCUCCCACUUUAGAAGUCCGAUGAGCAUUGCUGGGCGCUCAUUCCACUGCUACCUGUGGCGUACCAAGCUGGCUCGUCCUGACCACUGGUAAUGGUCAAACAACGAGAACUGUUUCUUCUCGCCCUUACAGGAUAGCAAGUGGCCACUUUAACACCAGGAUCAUUCGUUGCGAAGAUAAAGCAGUAACUCAACAACACAAGACCAAAAUAAUAUUUCAGAGUGAAACAGCGGAAGUAUUACAUAACUUAAUUUACAAAAGGAGUUCUUCCAAAUAGUAGAGUGUUAUUACAAGCCUGGUCCAGCGGAGCAACUGAAACUUUAGUAUAGACAGAACAAAAUUACAGACCCUGCCCAUGGGUCACGCUCACUCUUCUUCGUCGUCGACCUCAACGACGGUCACACAACAGGGUCCGAAACAAGUCGGCUCCUGAGCUUCACCUGCAACAGGGGUAUUGAAACCCUGAGUACGGGAGUACUCAACAAGACUUAUCCGACGGGAAAAGAGGAGAAUUUAGGGAUGCAGGCUUAGGGUAGACAAGGGGUGGCUGAGCAAGGAGCCAAAGUGUUUUGCGUAAAAGCUUACUAGUAGUGCAUCCUUAUUUUCAAGUUUUAUCCCGAAUUCCUCCCUCGCAGAGGCAGAGGAAUUCGAGGAUAGUCUAACUGGUUGUUCCCCACAGACGAAUCCGUGAGUUCCUAGUCCUAUCAUUAAGUAUUAUUUAUCGAUGGCCAUAGCUUCAUGUCGCUAUGAGUCCGGGAAUUGGGAUCCGAACCUCAUGAGACAUUUUCCCCUUUCUCAUUAUAUCACUUAGUUGCAUAUUUAACUACGAUGAGGGUCGAAGGAAUUGAGUCUCCCAAUCGGGGAGCAACGACGAUUCGAAUCGCUUAGCAAUCCAGCUGGAGUUCCUAACCACCCGACAUAUGUGGAACCAAAUCUUGCAUAUAUCAACCCGAAUCAAGCUCUCCCCAAAUUUGACCAGGUUCGCGGCACCCGAGAGCACAGUACUCCACCAUCCUACAGCCGAUCUAGAUGUUUUCCGGUCAUCUCAGAUCCGUAAGGUUGGCACACGUUACUCUCGCCAUCUUUCCACUCCCAGUGCGCGAGUAGCUGUUCGCGUCGAGGGAUUACAAGAUCGGGCUUACCGAGGGCAAGUGGCUAGUACUAUAAAUUCUCAACCCAGCAGGCCAUCAACGGACCGGUCCUUAAUCGACACAGUUGGAGACACUACUUUAAGACUCCAUUCUUAAAGCAAGUCCACCGACCGGUCUCAACUUAAAACAUCAUUGAUCAUAAGUGUAUCCCACAACAACCCUUCAAUCUUUCUUGUUUAAAAACCUAUCUAGUAGCAGGGCUAAGCAUCGCUACGCAGUUUUAAAAUAAAACAGGUGUCAAGGACAGGAUACAGAUAUCAAGGUAGUAAAUGCAGCAAGUAGGUUAACCCAAUUCUCAACUACCUAAUGCAGCAUUUUCAAUUCAUAAGUGACAAAAGGUUUAAAACAUCCAAGCAGGGGUUAAUGCAUCCGGGGCUUGCCUUGGUUGCAGGGCAGAGAGGGACCCUCGGAGACUUCCCAAGUCUCGGAUCCGACUUCCUCGAACGGAGCACCGACCUCGGGGUUCGGUUCAACGGGCGCUCCUUCGGUCACGGACACUAUACGCAAAAUGAUGAAUGCUUAUGAUAUGCGUAUGGCAAUUAUGCAAGAUGGACCGAAUUAAGUACGAUUUGCCUUUUUAAUGCAAUACAGAAUUGUCACUAAAUAAAGUUGUUUACAAUUUACUGUUUUUACCCAAGAGAUUGCAUCAGUAAAUUAAAACUCCUUUUAAUUCCUAAUUAUCCUGAAUUAACUAAUUAUUAAUCCUAUUUACCUUAAUCAAUUCUUAAUUAACUACUAAUGACAGUAAUUAAGCAUUAAAGCUGAACAACAAUUAAAUGCCAAAGGUCAUUAGGGUUAAUGACCUCAGGUCAUCACAUAAUCCAAAAUCACUCAACCCUAAUUAUGAGGACCUAAAUAAUCACUAUUUAAUUAUUUUGGAAUUAUUACUUAAGUGUUAAAUAAGGGUUUAUUAAUAUUUUAAACAAACAUUAUCCAAAUGCCACCAAAUUUUGUGGGGAGCCAGGGAACAAUAUUCAGAGGCAUCUCACAAUUUUUGGUGAUUUUUGGACAUACUAACAAAUUAUUAAAAAUCAUACAAGUUUUAUUUGCUAAUUAAAAGGGCCAAUUUUUGUAGACAUGUAAACUACCAAAAAAAAUCCACUAUUUUUCUUGGGUUCUACUUAUUUCAGAGAAUCUACACAAAAAUUUCCAUGAUUUUUGCAUUAACACACGAAUUAUUACACAAAUUCAAACAUUCAGCAAAAAUUGCAUAAAAGGAAAAAGGAAAAGAUUUUUCGCGCGGCGGGCGGCCUGGAACUUGGCCCGCAAGCCGGCCCACGCGCGCUCGGCCUGCUCACGCGCCGCGUAGACGGCCUGCGUGGACACGGUCCACUCUGGCCCGAGCGCUUCCCGCGCCAGCGCCCUCUCCCUCUCUCUCUCACGCGGUCGCUGACGGGCGGGUCCCGCCCGUCAGCUCCGUCUCCUUCCUAGCGCCGCGGCUCCGGCGAGCUCCAGUGAGCCGUCGGCGAGCUCUCGGCCUUCGCGGCGAGACGUGUUAGCUUCCUCGACCUCCCGUGCACCCAGGGACACCCUUUUCUCCCACUCUCCUCUAUCCUAACCCCUGUGACCACGGGCACGGCGGACGGCCGCCUCAGCCGAGCAGACGCCGGCCACUACGAGCGAGUAGAGCGUGACUUGAGCAGCGCAAAAGCACCAGGGGCUCACCGCGACUUCAACCGAACAAGAAGCGACAGCGGAGAGGCUCUGGUUGACGCUGGCCACGGUGACGUGCUUGCGGUGGCGCUCGGCCGGAGUUGGGGGAGAAACGGCUCGGGUGGAAGCUACGGUAGGAUAGAGCGUGUGUUUGGGGGCGCAAUCGGUGGCGGGGCUCACGGCGGAGCUGCUGGGGUGCUCAGGUGGCUUGGAACGGCAGCGAGUGAGGCGAAUUGGAGAGGCGCAGGGAGCUCGUCGGCGUCGGGGUUCAAGAAAAGGAAGAGGGGACUCUGGCCACUCGGGGCUUUAUCCCCACAACGGAAGGCGGUUCGCGGAUGAGGACGUCCACGCGAAGCACAGCAGCAAGCAGCUGCGUGGCCAGCUGCGUGGCGGCGCGCGCGGAGGCGGCUCUGCCCCGGCGGCAGAGCACCCCCCCUGCCGAUCACUGUAGCCGGCCUCAUCCACUCAGUUUGUCUUUUUGUGAAAUCCGACCAAAAUUUGAACUAAAGUCAAAUUUCCACCAAAACAAAAGUUGUGCCAAAUUUUGUAAGCUACAAAUCAUAUUUAGGUGUCCCAAGCUGAUUCUCAAUGGAUCAAGGGUAAUUUUGCCAAACAGUUUGAAAAUCAAACUCAAAUCAAAGAAAUUCCAAAUUUUUGAAUUGGGGCAAAACAGAAUUUCCAGAAUUACUUUUGAUUUUGUAUAACAACUUGAAAAACUCCCAACAUGAAAGUUUCUCAACUUUUUGUGAUCUACAACUUUCAUGUUGACCACUUUUUCAAAAUUCCAAAUGGAUUUUGAAUUGGGGAUUUAAGUUGGAAAAGGGGACACUUUCUGGAAAUCUGUAUUUUCAAAAUUACUUUGAAUUUUGUAUUGAAACUUCAAAAACUCAAAACACCAAAGUUGUACAUCUUGCCAAGAGCUACAACUUUGCUUUUGAACUCAACCUCAAAUUUUGCAUAGUUUUUGACUUAAGCAAAAGGGGACAAAUCUAGGAUCCAGAAAUCAGGGUUUUCCCCCCCCCUUAGCUUCUCGGAAAACUUCCACCCUAGGGUUUUAGCAACCACACAAGCAACAACACACCACAGAAGCACACUCUACUUCCCUAAGCUCAAGCAAUCAAAGUAAACUUAUUUUAAGUUGAUGCAUACUAAUGUGCUUUAACAAUUAUGCUUUGCAAUGCUUAUGAUGACAUGAUCCGUUUUUAGUAACCGUAACAUCAGGGAUGUUACAGCCCUUCCCCCUUAAAGAAAUCUCGUCCCCGAGAUUUAAAACCUUAGGGUAAGUAAUGGAAAAGGAAAUUUGUCAAAACUCUUUCAUCUUCAACUUUUCCAUAAGGCAAGGAAUUGGGGAAAAAUACUUCAUUAUAAGCAUAUAUGUACAUUAAGUACAUGGCUUUGGCGACUCUGUUUCUUCACUGGAGUACAUCCUCUGGUUAUCAUAUAUGGUCCUGAAGAGAAGCAUAGAAUUCAGGAAAAUUCUCUAGCAAGUAAUCUUCAGAUUCCCAGGUGGCUUCUUCUUCAGAGUGCUGGCUCCAUUGUACCUUAUACCAUUUGGUGGUUGUCCUUCGAGUAACUCUAGCUUUUUGAUCCAGUACUCGGAUAGGAUAUUCCGAAUAAGUUAGAUCUGGUUCAAGCUUUACAUCUUCAAUAUCUUGAACUCGAUCUGGUACCCGAAGACACUUUUUCAGUUGAGACACAUGGAACACAUUAUGUACCCCGGAUAAUCGUUCGGGCAGUUUAAGGCGGUAAGCGACCUGCCCACAUCGGUCAAUAAUUGGAAAUGGACCAAUGUAACGAGGCGCUAACUUGCCUUUAACACCAAAACGAUUUACUCCUUUCAUUGGGGAUACUUUCAAAUACACAUGAUCACCCUUGGUGAACCUUAAUGGUCGACGCCUUUUAUCAGCGUAACUUUUCUGUCGGGACUGAGCAACUUUCAAGUUAUUUUGGAUUUGUUUCACUUUGUUCUCAGUCUCUUUCACUAAGUCAACUCCGAAGAACCAUCUUUCUCCAGGUUCUGACUAGUGUAACGGAGUUCGACAUCGGCGACCAUACAGUGCCUCAAAGGGAGCCAUUUUGAUACUCUCUUGAUAGCUAUUAUUGUAGGAAAAUUCUGCUAGAGGCAAGCAGUCAUCCCACUUAUCUGGAAAAUUCAGGGCACAAGAUCUUAAUAGAUCUUCUAGGGUUUGAUUUACCCUUUCAGUUUGCCCACCGGUUUGAGGGUGGUAGGCUGUGCUAUAUAAAAGCUUAGUGCCCAAGGACUCAUGUAAACAUUUCCAGAAUUGGGAGACAAAUUGUGUGCCUCUAUCUGACACUAUUGUCUUUGGCACUCCAUGCAGACUUAGGAUACGGUCGAAAUAAAUCUUAGCACAGGUGGAGGCAGGAUACAAUAGCUUUACCGGCAGAAAAUGUGCUGUUUUGGUGAGGCGAUCUACUAUGACCCAAAUGGAAUCAAAGCCCUUGGCCGUCUUGGGCAAUCCUACUAUGAAAUCCAUACUUAUGUCAUCCCAUUUCCAUGCGGGGAUAGGCAAAGGUUGCAACUCCCCAGCGGAUUUGAGAUGAAUGGCUUUGACCUUUCGACAGGUGUCACAUUGGGCCACAUAGCGAGCUAUUUCUAUCUUCAUUUUUGUCCACCAAAACCUUUGCUUCAGGUCCUGAUACAUCUUAUUGCUUCCCGGAUGAAUAGAAUACCUCGUGGUAUGAGCUUCAUCUAGGAUUUGCUGACGUAGCUCAGGUACCUUUGGAACCACUAACCGGUUCUUGAACCAGAUUACUCCCGCAUCAUCCACCUUAAAGUCUGUGGGUGCUCUAUUAGAAAUCUUCUCUUUAAGAUGUCUCAUGCCUUUGUUUUCUUUUUGUGCCUUUAUGAUUUGAGCCUCGAGAUUGAAAUCAAUCUUUAAAUUGGAAAGGCUUCCUUGGGAAAUCAUUUCUAUUCCCAAGUUCUCUAGCUCUUGGCACAAAGUUAUAUCCCUAGGCGUCACUGUUAAGCAAUUACAGUGAGCCUUACGACUGAGGGCAUCCGCUACUACAUUUGCCUUGCCAGGGUGAUAAUGCACCUCAAGGUCGUAAUCUUUAAUUAGUUCUAGCCACCUUCGCUGGCGCAUAUUAAGCUCAGCUUGAGUAAAGAUAUACUUCAAGCUUUUGUGAUCUGUAUAUACAUGACAUGUGUUUCCCAACAAAUAAUGACGCCAGAUCUUUAAUGCAUGUACCACGGCGGCUAGUUCGAGAUCAUGGGUCGGGUAAUUCUCUUCAUGAGGUUUGAGUUGUCUGGAAGCAUAUGCAAUUACGCGACCCUCCUGCAUCAGCACACAGCCUAACCCGAUCCCUGAUGCGUCACAAUAUACAUCAAAGGGUUUUUCAAUAUCUGGCUGGGCUAAGACAGGUGCAGUUGUCAACAACCUUUUCAGAGUCUGAAAAGCUUGCUCACAUUGGGGUGACCAAACAAAUUUUGUUUGACUUUUGAGCAAGGUUGUGAUUGGUUUGGCGACUCUGGAAAAGUCCGGGAUGAAACGACGGUAAUAUCCCGCCAUGCCCAGAAAACUACGGACCUCAUGCACCGUAGUCGGGGGUUUCCAAUUCAACACAUCUUCUACCUUGCCUGGGUCUACAGCGACUCCUUCCGCUGAUAAUACAUGACCCAGGAAAUGGACUUUGUCCAGCCAGAACUCACAUUUGCUGAACUUGGCAUAUAGCUGAUGCUCCCUGAGACGGGUCAGCACGAUUCUCAAGUGUUCAGCAUGUUCCUUCUUAGUUUUGGAGUAAAUCAAGAUGUCAUCGAUGAAGACGACCACAAAUUUGUCUAGUUCUGGCAUGAAGACAGAGUUCAUCAGGUACAUAAAAUGGGCCGGUGCGUUGGUCAACCCAAACGACAUCACCAAGUACUCAUACAGCCCAUAACGGGUUGUAAAAGCUGUCUUGGGCACAUCUUCCGGCCUAAUUUUAAUUUGGUGGUACCCUGAUCUCAAAUCAAUUUUUGAGAACACUUUGGCCCCAGCUAGCUGGUCAAACAAUAAGUCAAUGCGGGGCAAUGGGUACUUGUUCUUAAUCGUCACCUCAUUUAGAGGACGAUAAUCGACACACAGCCUUAAUGUCUGAUCUUUCUUCUUCACAAACAAGGCUGGGCAACCCCAUGGAGAAGAACUGGGCUGAAUAAAACCCUUCUGCAACAACUCUUGUAAUUGGGUUUUUAAUUCGGCCAGCUCUUUCGGUGCCAUUCUGUAGGCCCUUCGAGAUAUUGGGGCCAUUCCUGGUUUCAAUUCUAUACUGAAUUGUACAUCCCGGUCCGGAGGCAGACCUGGUAAGUCUUCAGGAAAUACAUCCGGAAAAUCUCGAACUACCGGAAUAUCUUUGACUUCAGACACAUUUGCGGCAUGAACUUGCCCAAUUGUCCGUUUGGGAGUAACUAAUUGGAUUAGCAAAUAAGAAUUCUCAUUGGGCAAUGGGAUUUUAAUGGUUCGGUGCAAGGUGUCUAGCACAACCCCUCGUUGCGCCAUCCAGUUCAUGCCUAAGAUGACAUCAAUUUCUUGGUCCUUAAGAACAAUCAUGCUAGUAGGAAAAUUGUGCCCACCAAAUUCGAUGGGUACUUGGUGAACCAUUUCUUUAGACAGCAGCCGUCCUCCUGGCGACUGUAUAUAAAAAUGAUCUUGUGUUUCCCCAAUGGGUAUGCCAUGCUUUAACACAAAGGUGCGAUUGAUAAAUGUAUGAGAUGCACCAGAAUCAAAGAGCAUUAAAGCAGGAUGCUUCGCAACAGGAAACGUACCCAUCAUCACUGGUUCACCCUCUGGAAUUGUCUCCACUUCAGUAUGGAAGACUUGCCCUGUCUUCUUUACCGGUCUACCUUUCUGUACCUGUUGCCCUUUUUGAACCCCAGUUCUGAACUGACCCGGCUGGGGUUGGCCCAUAGGUGGCCUUGGAAAGGUAGGGUUGGUUUGACGGGGAAAAGGGCACUCUUUAGAGAAAUGCCCAGGUUUACCACAAUUGAAGCAAGGGUAAUUGUGGCUGGGCGGAGCAGUAGGGCGAACACCCGGGGCGUUCGGCUGGCGUGGUGCAAAAGCGAUGGCAGUAGGUCGAGAAUAUACCUGCUGCCCGGGUCUGUACUGUGGAGGGGAGAAAGGACCACGAUAAGGUAACGGCGUUUGGAAACGUCCGUGGCCCUGUGGAUGAUAAAUGAUCCUCUGGCGCUUUUGACCGCGACCAGAGAAAGAAGAGGAAGCAGCCUUCUUCUUGGCUUCCUUAUGUUUCCUAUUCUUUUCCUCUGAGGCGAUAGCAAUAUUUACCGCCUCAUAGAAAGUAGCAUUUUGGCAAGUGGUCAUCAUGGUCUGAAGUUUAGUAUUUAGACCACGCAUGAAACAGGCUUUCCUCUUUCUAUUAGUGUUCACAUGAUCCGUGGCAUAUUGAGAGAGAUGAUUAAACCUUGCCACGUAUUCCAUAACACUUUUAUCGCCUUGCUGCAAGGCGAGAAACUCUUCGGCCUUCAUGGCCAUGAGCCCUUCGGGGAUGUAGUGGGCGCGGAACGCGUCCCUAAAUUCAGUCCAAGUGACUUGGUGUCCGGGAGCUUGAAUAGCUAAGAAGUUCUCCCACCAGGCACCUGCAGCUCCCCGAAGCUGCUGAGCUGCAAAUAAGGGUUUCUGAGUUUCUGAACACUGAAUCAAACUAAACUUAUGCUCCAUAGUUCGGAGCCAGUCAUCCGCUUCUAAAGGCUCAUCGGCCUUAGUGAACACCGGGGGCCUGGUCUCGGUAAAGUCCACAUACCGAGCCUCUCCGUCCCCGUUGCGCGGUGCCCUGAAGUUUGGAGCAGGGUGUGUUUGACGCUGUGCUAGCUCGCGCAGCAAGCGAGCGUUGUCAGUUGUGGCACUUAGCAGGACAGCAAUGGCGUCAGCCAAAGAAGGUGGAGCAGGUGGAGGGUUGGGGAUAUCAUCCCCUCCCUGGGAUGUCCCAGCCCCAUCGGAUCCGCGAGUACGCAUCGGCAUCUGUUACAAGAAUCGUAGAUACCUGUUACCACGUAAGAUUCAUAACACAGAACAUAUCUUCCAUUCACUUAUUAAACAUUAGUUAGAUACACACCAAGAGUAAACAAGUACAACUUUUCAAACCAAAAGAGAACUUAUAUUACAAACCCGAACCCCACUAUGGCAAGCUAAGACCCCUACAACGACGUUGCCCUCGGUUUCACCGAACUAAUCGGUGUGGCCAGAGCUGUAGCCCGGGUCGUCAUUGCCAUCAUCUUGAUUACCCCCUGGGUUGUGGUCAUCGGGGUCGGACUCCUCUUCAUCACUGAGGCCUGGAUCGGGUUCUCCAUCGUCUGCCAACUCGCCAUCCGUAUCCAUUUCUCCUUCGCCGGGAGGUGGAUGGAGUUGAUGAUACAGAUUAAAUGCAAUAUCACGAUACUGCAUAGCCAAGUCAUUGACUGUAUCCAAGUGAUGUGCCAGCUCCAGUUUCUCCAGCUGGAGCUGGUCCUCUCGUUGCCACGCGACAUCCCGUUGUGCGGUGACCGUGGCCGCCAUCUUCACAUACAAAUCCUUAAGAUACUUUGCCUUGCCCAACUUUGCGUUCAUCCUAGUUAGCUCAUGCCUAUGGGUGCUCCUAGCUUCUUCCUCUCGGGCAAUGGCUGCAUUCCGCUCCUCCACCAUCCGGGACAACAUAGCUUCACAAUUUUCUGUAGCUUGUUUUUCUUUGGCCAGUUGAGCUUUAAGUUUGCCAAUCUCCAUAACAUUGUACAUUCUCUCUCUCAUCACCUCAGUCAACUCGGCGGACAACCUGUCCACCUCCUGCUGAGGCGGUGAACGGCUACUACUGGCUUGAUCACUGCGUGGAGCUAGCUGAUGUCGGGGAACUCCUUUUGGACCAGUCCGCUUACGCGGGGUCUGCUUCUGACGAGCCAUCCUGUAGAGGGUAAGUUUAGAUGAAUAAGAGAGACCUUAAAGGUUAGCAAGAAUAGGAUUGAUUCUAUUCACCCAACCCAACAAGGAGGAAGGAACUUAACCAGUUAAUACAUCAUGAUGCAUGCACGAACUUACGAUUCCUACUAACAAUUCGUAACAACAGUACCUUAAAUUUUUACAACAUAGGGCAAUACUUUAGGUUGCUCCUCCAUACCACUUCAAAAAUUCUCAGAAAGCCUAUAGACAGGGGUAGAUUAGGACUAAGCACUUGGACUCAAAAUAGGCAGGUUCAUAAUAUUAGUUCCAAACGAAUUUUUGAAGUUUUUCAAAAGGUUCAGCAGUCAUCUUAGCAACGAAUGCUCUGAUACCAGCCGUGGCAGAACCUCCUAAGUGUUUGGGCCCACCGACACCUGCCAUUGUCCUAAGGACCUCUGACGGUGAUGCCGGGAGUCCUCCCACUUUAGAAGUCCGAUGAGCAUUGCUGGGCGCUCAUUCCACUGCUACCUGUGGCGUACCAAGCUGGCUCGUCCUGACCACUGGUAAUGGUCAAACAACGAGAACUGUUUCUUCUCGCCCUUACAGGAUAGCAAGUGGCCACUUUAACACCAGGAUCAUUCGUUGCGAAGAUAAAGCAGUAACUCAACAACACAAGACCAAAAUAAUAUUUCAGAGUGAAACAGCGGAAGUAUUACAUAACUUAAUUUACAAAAGGAGUUCUUCCAAAUAGUAGAGUGUUAUUACAAGCCUGGUCCAGCGGAGCAACUGAAACUUUAGUAUAGACAGAACAAAAUUACAGACCCUGCCCAUGGGUCACGCUCACUCUUCUUCGUCGUCGACCUCAACGACGGUCACACAACAGGGUCCGAAACAAGUCGGCUCCUGAGCUUCACCUGCAACAGGGGUAUUGAAACCCUGAGUACGGGAGUACUCAACAAGACUUAUCCGACGGGAAAAGAGGAGAAUUUAGGGAUGCAGGCUUAGGGUAGACAAGGGGUGGCUGAGCAAGGAGCCAAAGUGUUUUGCGUAAAAGCUUACUAGUAGUGCAUCCUUAUUUUCAAGUUUUAUCCCGAAUUCCUCCCUCGCAGAGGCAGAGGAAUUCGAGGAUAGUCUAACUGGUUGUUCCCCACAGACGAAUCCGUGAGUUCCUAGUCCUAUCAUUAAGUAUUAUUUAUCGAUGGCCAUAGCUUCAUGUCGCUAUGAGUCCGGGAAUUGGGAUCCGAACCUCAUGAGACAUUUUCCCCUUUCUCAUUAUAUCACUUAGUUGCAUAUUUAACUACGAUGAGGGUCGAAGGAAUUGAGUCUCCCAAUCGGGGAGCAACGACGAUUCGAAUCGCUUAGCAAUCCAGCUGGAGUUCCUAACCACCCGACAUAUGUGGAACCAAAUCUUGCAUAUAUCAACCCGAAUCAAGCUCUCCCCAAAUUUGACCAGGUUCGCGGCACCCGAGAGCACAGUACUCCACCAUCCUACAGCCGAUCUAGAUGUUUUCCGGUCAUCUCAGAUCCGUAAGGUGGGCACACGUUACUCUCGCCAUCUUUCCACUCCCAGUGCGCGAGUAGCUGUUCGCGUCGAGGGAUUACAAGAUCGGGCUUACCGAGGGCAAGUGGCUAGUACUAUAAAUUCUCAACCCAGCAGGCCAUCAACGGACCGGUCCUUAAUCGACACAGUUGGAGACACUACUUUAAGACUCCAUUCUUAAAGCAAGUCCACCGACCGGUCUCAACUUAAAACAUCAUUGAUCAUAAGUGUAUCCCACAACAACCCUUCAAUCUUUCUUGUUUAAAAACCUAUCUAGUAGCAGGGCUAAGCAUCGCUACGCAGUUUUAAAAUAAAACAGGUGUCAAGGACAGGAUACAGAUAUCAAGGUAGUAAAUGCAGCAAGUAGGUUAACCCAAUUCUCAACUACCUAAUGCAGCAUUUUCAAUUCAUAAGUGACAAAAGGUUUAAAACAUCCAAGCAGGGGUUAAUGCAUCCGGGGCUUGCCUUGGUUGCAGGGCAGAGAGGGACCCUCGGAGACUUCCCAAGUCUCGGAUCCGACUUCCUCGAACGGAGCACCGACCUCGGGGUUCGGUUCAACGGGCGCUCCUUCGGUCACGGACACUAUACGCAAAAUGAUGAAUGCUUAUGAUAUGCGUAUGGCAAUUAUGCAAGAUGGACCGAAUUAAGUACGAUUUGCCUUUUUAAUGCAAUACAGAAUUGUCACUAAAUAAAGUUGUUUACAAUUUACUGUUUUUACCCAAGAGAUUGCAUCAGUAAAUUAAAACUCCUUUUAAUUCCUAAUUAUCCUGAAUUAACUAAUUAUUAAUCCUAUUUACCUUAAUCAAUUCUUAAUUAACUACUAAUGACAGUAAUUAAGCAUUAAAGCUGAACAACAAUUAAAUGCCAAAGGUCAUUAGGGUUAAUGACCUCAGGUCAUCACAUAAUCCAAAAUCACUCAACCCUAAUUAUGAGGACCUAAAUAAUCACUAUUUAAUUAUUUUGGAAUUAUUACUUAAGUGUUAAAUAAGGGUUUAUUAAUAUUUUAAACAAACAUUAUCCAAAUGCCACCAAAUUUUGUGGGGAGCCAGGGAACAAUAUUCAGAGGCAUCUCACAAUUUUUGGUGAUUUUUGGACAUACUAACAAAUUAUUAAAAAUCAUACAAGUUUUAUUUGCUAAUUAAAAGGGCCAAUUUUUGUAGACAUGUAAACUACCAAAAAAAAUCCACUAUUUUUCUUGGGUUCUACUUAUUUCAGAGAAUCUACACAAAAAUUUCCAUGAUUUUUGCAUUAACACACGAAUUAUUACACAAAUUCAAACAUUCAGCAAAAAUUGCAUAAAAGGAAAAAGGAAAAGAUUUUUCGCGCGGCGGGCGGCCUGGAACUUGGCCCGCAAGCCGGCCCACGCGCGCUCGGCCUGCUCACGCGCCGCGUAGACGGCCUGCGUGGACACGGUCCACUCUGGCCCGAGCGCUUCCCGCGCCAGCGCCCUCUCCCUCUCUCUCUCACGCGGUCGCUGACGGGCGGGUCCCGCCCGUCAGCUCCGUCUCCUUCCUAGCGCCGCGGCUCCGGCGAGCUCCAGUGAGCCGUCGGCGAGCUCUCGGCCUUCGCGGCGAGACGUGUUAGCUUCCUCGACCUCCCGUGCACCCAGGGACACCCUUUUCUCCCACUCUCCUCUAUCCUAACCCCUGUGACCACGGGCACGGCGGACGGCCGCCUCAGCCGAGCAGACGCCGGCCACUACGAGCGAGUAGAGCGUGACUUGAACAGCGCAAAAGCACCAGGGGCUCACCGCGACUUCAACCGAACAAGAAGCGACAGCGGAGAGGCUCUGGUUGACGCUGGCCACGGUGACGUGCUUGCGGUGGCGCUCGGCCGGAGUUGGGGGAGAAACGGCUCGGGUGGAAGCUACGGUAGGAUAGAGCGUGUGUUUGGGGGCGCAAUCGGUGGCGGGGCUCACGGCGGAGCUGCUGGGGUGCUCAGGUGGCUUGGAACGGCAGCGAGUGAGGCGAAUUGGAGAGGCGCAGGGAGCUCGUCGGCGUCGGGGUUCAAGAAAAGGAAGAGGGGACUCUGGCCACUCGGGGCUUUAUCCCCACAACGGAAGGCGAUUCGCGGAUGAGGACGUCCACGCGAAGCACAGCAGCAAGCAGCUGCGUGGCCAGCUGCGUGGCGGCGCGCGCGGAGGCGGCUCUGCCCCGGCGGCAGAGCACCCCCCCUGCCGAUCACUGUAGCCGGCCUCAUCCACUCAGUUUGUCUUUUUGUGAAAUCCGACCAAAAUUUGAACUAAAGUCAAAUUUCCACCAAAACAAAAGUUGUGCCAAAUUUUGUAAGCUACAAAUCAUAUUUAGGUGUCCCAAGCUGAUUCUCAAUGGAUCAAGGGUAAUUUUGCCAAACAGUUUGAAAAUCAAACUCAAAUCAAAGAAAUUCCAAAUUUUUGAAUUGGGGCAAAACAGAAUUUCCAGAAUUACUUUUGAUUUUGUAUAACAACUUGAAAAACUCCCAACAUGAAAGUUUCUCAACUUUUUGUGCUCUACAACUUUCAUGUUGACCACUUUUUCAAAAUUCCAAAUGGAUUUUGAAUUGGGGAUUUAAGUUGGAAAAGGGGACACUUUCUGGAAAUCUGUAUUUUCAAAAUUACUUUGAAUUUUGUAUUGAAACUUCAAAAACUCAAAACACCAAAGUUGUACAUCUUGCCAAGAGCUACAACUUUGCUUUUGAACUCAACCUCAAAUUCUGCUUAGUUUUUGACUUAAGCAAAAGGGGACAAAUCUAGGAUCCAGAAAUCAGGGUUUUCCCCCCCCUUAGCUUCUCGGAAAACUUCCACCCUAGGGUUUUAGCAACCACACAAGCAACAACACACCACAGAAGCACACUCUACUUCCCUAAGCUCAAGCAAUCAAAGUAAACUUAUUUUAAGUUGAUGCAUACUAAUGUGCUUUAACAAUUAUGCUUUGCAAUGCUUAUGAUGACAUGAUCCGUUUUUAGUAACCGUAACAUCAGGGAUGUUACAGCUAGUGUCGAGGGUAUCAACAAGGGGUACCCUCACCAAUGCGUAUAACCAGGCCAUCCGUACGCACGCGCGGCCAUCGACGGUCGCAGCCUCGAAGACGGAAAUGCCGUCGAGCGAAUUGGUCAAGGCUCGAGCGACCACUGCCGUCGAAUACGGAAACGGGCUCGAGCGAACCGAGAGGCAUCGAGCGCAAGGACACUGUCCGCCGCCUGACGCGCGCACGGGAGCCAGGGCAUUUAAUGCGCCUGACGCUUCCCCACCUAACACACGGGUCACGGGAGGCUUCUGUCCCAUCGUUCUUUUUGCAGCCUUCCCACCGAACGAUCAGGGGCGUGUCAGGACGCAGGGAACAAGGAUGGAACGUCUAAUCGGGACCCCCUCGAGACCUCCAAGGUCAGCGCUCCAGAUAUCAGCACAUUACACGGCGUCCGACCCUCGACCGAACAGGGUCCCUUCCUAGGGGCAAGUUGGGCGUCGACUGACAACACCACAGCUACCCCGCCGGAUCCGCCGCCAUACCGUACCGGCAUGCGACCUCAGAACCAGCGCGAGGCGGCGGGCAGGGCCGAACGCAGGAGCACGCGUAAUCAUCACCGGGCUAUCAAGAUGGGACGGCUCGAGGCCAUGCCGUACGGAAGCCUCGAGUAGGUCAGCGCUCCAUGCGGCUAUCGACCCCUACUCUAGCGUCUACGCAUGUACCCUGGGUCUCUCCUUGGAGCUAUAAAAGGAGAGACUCAGGAAUAGAACGGGAGGACGAAAACAAGAAGACAAGUCCACGCUCAUGCGUAGUAGAGCUUCACACUUCAUACCACGCUUGUAUUUGCCCCUGUACAAGCACUUAGGUGCAAGAUAAUACGAACUCUCUCCCCCCGCUGGACGUAGGGCCUUCUCUUGCCCGAACCAGGAUAAAUCUCUGUGUCUUCUUGCAUCACCAUCCGGGAAAGGGAGCACGCAUACAAAUUUACUCGUUGGUGUGACCCCCCCCCCCGAGGGAAAACACCGACAGUUGGCGCGCCAGGUAGGGGUCCUGCGUGUUUUUUCAUCGACUUCCCACUCCUUUCCGGAUGGCUACUCUUGCCUUCGCCGUUUCCGCGCUCCACGGUAAUUUGGUUUGGGAGCCUCGAGUUCAUGUCUACGGGCUCCGGCUACGACAUGAUCUUGCUCUCAGUCAAAGGACCAGGAGGAGCCCGCGUUACGCCAGCACGGUUGAAGGCCCCGAGACGCCCUCACCACCACGCCUCCCCGCCUAAGAAGAGGCGCGGACAGCACCACCGCGGCCCCUCUGCUUCAGCACGACCAACAACUCGUGCGAGGCAGGGCGUAGGCCACAAGUCGGCGGCACCGUGGGACGGAGCAACAAGCGCGACGACUCAGCACCGCGCGACGACGGGAGGUGACACGUCUCGCGCGCUCUCCCCCACCGCUGCUAGGCUACUUCCACACGGGUUGUUCACUCCAAGAGCGGCACUGCCGUUCGGAUUGGACAACGCCGCGGCGUCGCUCGCCAGGACGAUAUGCCCAAACGCCCAGACGUACGUAGAAAGACCAAUGGUCCUCCCACGUAGCUCUGAAGCGCGGCAGUCGGCGUUCGAGCUGCCGGACCUUUCCCGAGUACAAGGCCUCCGUCGUCUAGGCCCCGGACGAUACUCGAUCACCUCCCUCAGGCAACGAUUGCUGGAGGAAGGACGUGGGUGUUUCUACGCCUCCGAACCGGACUCCGACUCCGAGACGGACAGCUAUGACCCUACGAGGGAAUGCUAUCACAUUGACGGGGCGGUAGAAACUACUGACGAGACCCGGGAUGCUGCUGCGGGAGGUCGAGCCCCCGCGGCGCGAGAAGACCCCAGGACGCCUGGGAACGACGGACAGGUCGACCCCCCUCAUCAUGAAGACAGAACCGCGCAGCUCGCGCAGCUGCGGGAGCUCAAGAUGAAGCUCGACGAAGACCGCGAGCGCCUCGUCCUGCUCGAGCAAAUCCUCGAGCAAGACCUGCCCUACCCGCCGGGCGGAAGUGUCCGCAGACGCGCUCGAGAGGUACAUCGACAGAUCGUCGGCGACUCAGAGCCAGAGCAACCUGUCGGUCGUUUCCCUCGAGCAGGCCAGAAUGUAGUGGCAGCGACGAUGCUGCUACGUAACAUGCCAGAGCCGUCGAAUUCCCAGGCCCGAUGCAUUCGAGAUGAGGUACAGACAUUGCUCCAGGUGGCGGCGGUUCAACAAGCCGAAAGUUCGGCGUCUCGACAGCGAGGAGCUGCCACAGAGAAGCGCGACGAACAGCCUCUAAACGAAGAGGAGGUGUCAGUCCAACAACAACCUCCCCCUCGAGGUAGAAAGACCGCUCUCAUCCUCCCCGUCGACGGUCAACAUCGACACGACGCGCGGCACGACAUCAAAGAAAAUCGACGCCGCCGGCACGGAGACGCGGAAGAGCGCGGUUAUAGCGCGCAUCGCGGUGGGAGAUACGACAGCGACGAGGACCGGGUGGCCCCCGAGCCACCAGGCCCACGGGUGUUCAGUAGGGCGAUCCGCAGCACGCCCCUGCCCAAUCCAUUUCGACCCCCGACCAGCAUCGCGAAGUAUAAUGGAGAGACCAAACCAGAGUUGUGGCUGGCCGACUUCAGGCUGGCCUGUCAGCUAGGUGGCGCUCGAGGUGAUGAUCGAGCCAUCAUCAGACAGCUACCCCUUUUCCUCUCUGACACCGCCCGUCGAUGGCUCGAGGAACUCCCCGCCAAUCAGAUCCACAACUGGGUUGAUCUGGUCAGAGUCUUCGAGGGUAACUUCAAAGGGACCUACAUACGACCAGGGAACUCAUGGGACCUCAGCAAGUGCAAGCAGAAGUCAGGAGAAACUCUUCGGGAGUAUGCUCGGCGCUUCUCGAAGCAGCGCACUGAGCUGCCGCACAUCCCUGACCACGACGUCAUCUUGGCGUUUGUCUCGGGCACCACCAGUCGAGACUUGGUGCGGGAAUUAGGUCGCAAUCGACCUCAGACCGUCGACGAGCUGAUGGACGUAGUAGCCAACUACGCGGCAGGGGAGGAGGCAGUCGGCACCUUCUUCAGCUCAGAAGGAAGGAAAGGCAAGCAGCCCAUCAACGAAGAUGGGACCCCCAGUCGAGGCCUCAAGAAAAACAAAAAGAAGCAAAAAGUGCGGCAGUUCCACCGGGAAGAUUCCGAUGACAACCUUGUCGCCGCCAUGGAUCGAAAGAAGCCUCGAGGCCCUCCGGAUGGAGGCAUCUUUGACAAGAUGUUGGAGGAGCCGUGCCCUUACCAUAAGGGAGGCGCCAACCACAAGCUCAAGGACUGUCGUAUGCUGAGAAAGCAUUUCGACGGUCAGGGGUUCAAAAAAGAUACGUGUGAUGACUCCAAGAAAGAGAAGGCUGGCAGCAAGGAGGACAACAAAGAUGACGACGGCUUCCCCGCCGUCCACGACUGCUACAUGAUCUAUGGCGGGCCCUCGACCCAGUUGACCACGAGGCAGCACAAAAGGGAGCGUCGCGAAGUCUUUGCAGCAAGAAUGGCGGUGCCCCAAUACCUUAGCUGGUCAAGCACUCCUAUCACUUUCGACCGAGAAGACCACCCCGACAAGGUACUCGCCCCAGGCGUCUACCCGCUCGUCGUCGACCCCAUCAUCGUCAACACCCGGCUCUCGAAAGUGCUAAUGGACGGCGGUAGCAGCCUCAACAUCAUCUACCUCGAGACCCUUGACCUCCUCGGCAUAGAUAGAGGGAAGCUCCAACCAAGUGCCGGCGGGUUCCAUGGCGUCGUGCCAGGAAAAAAGGCGCUGCCAGUAGGUCGAAUUGACUUACCGGUCUGCUUCGGCACGGCGGCCAACUUCAGGAAGGAGACCCUCACCUUCGAGGUGGUUGGGUUUCGAGGCACGUACCACGCCAUCAUCGGGCGCCCGGGCUACGCCAAGUUCAUGGCUAUACCCAACUACACCUACUUGAAGCUGAAGAUGCCCGGUCCCAAAGGUGUCAUCACUGUCAGUUCCUCCUUCGAGCACGCGUACGAGUGCGACGUCGAGUGCGUCGAGUACGGGGAGGUGGUCGAGAACUCCACCGAGCUCGUCGCGAAGCUCGAGGCCCUGGCCGCUGAGGCUCUAGAGCCUAAGCGCCACGCGGGCAGCUUCGAGGCGGCGGAAGGAACCAAGAAGAUCCCGCUCGACCCCAACAGCUCCGACGGCAAAGUACUGACGAUCAGCACCGACCUCGACCCCAAAUAGGAAGCGGUGCUCGUCGACUUUCUCCGUGCAAAUGCCGACAUGUUUGCAUGGAGUCCCUCGGACAUGCCAGGCAUACUGAGGGAAGUCGCCGAGCACUCCUUGGAGAUUCGAGCCGGUUCCAAGCCAGUGAAGCAGCGGUUGCGUCAAUUCGACGAGGAGAAGCGCAAGAUCAUUGGCGAGGAAGUCCACAAGCUUUUGACGGCCGGAUUCAUCAAGGAGGUUCAUCAUCCUGACUGGUUAGCAAACCCUGUAUUAGUUAAGAAAAAGAAUGGGAAAAUGAGGAUGUGUGUCGAUUAUACUAGUCUGAAUAAAGCAUGUCCGAAAGUUCCCUUUCCAUUGCCACGCAUUGAUCAGAUUGUCGAUUCUACCGCGGGAUGUGAAACCCUUUCUUUCCUUGAUGCAUAUUCUGGUUACCACCAAAUAAAAAUGAAGGAGUCCGACCAGCUCGCGACCUCUUUCAUCACGCCUUUUGGGAUGUAUUGCUAUGUGACCAUGCCAUUCGGGCUUCGAAACGCGGGAGCCACGUAUCAACGUUGCAUGCUCCACAUGUUUGGCGAACAUAUAGGGUCCACGGUCGAGGCCUACGUCGACGACAUUGUCGUCAAGUCAAAGCGACGAGGAGACCUAAUCCAGGACCUCGAGAUUGCCUUUAGCUGCCUACGCACCAGCCGGAUCAAGCUCAAUCCCGAGAAGUGCGUUUUCGGUGUGCCUCGAGGCAUGCUCCUAGGUUACAUCGUUUCGCAGCGCGGCAUCGAGGCCAACCCCAAGAAAGUCUCGGCCAUCACGAAAAUGGGGCCGAUCCGAGACAUCAAGGGUGUACAGAGAGUCACGGGGUGCCUGGCGGCUCUGAGCCGUUUCAUCUCGAGACUAGGAGAAAAGGCAUUUCCAUUAUAUCGACUCCUAAAGAAGGUCGAGCGUUUUUCUUGGACCCCCGAGGCCGAGGAAGCACUCGAAAGGCUGAAGAAGACGUUGACCUCGGCCCCAGUCCUGGUUCCACCUCAACCUGCAGAGCCGCUGCUCCUCUACGUCGCAUCGACGACCCAGGUCAUCAGCGCGGCGGUGGUGGUCGAAAGACAAGAGGAGGGUCAUGCGCUGCCGGUCCAAAGGCCAGUCUAUUUCGUCAGCGGAGACCAAGAUGCGUUAUCCCCAAAUCCAGAAGCUGAUCUACGCCGUAAUCCUUGCCCGCCGCAAGCUGCAGCAUUACUUCCUCGGUCACCCCAUCACGGUGGUUUCGUCUUUCCCUUUAGGAGAAAUAAUCCAGAGCAAAGAGGCCACGGGAAGAAUAGCAAAAUGGUCGGUCGAGCUCAUGAGUGAGACUCUCACUUACACGCCUCGGAAGGCCAUCAAAUCGCAAGCCCUGGUAGACUUCGUCGCGGAAUGGACGGACUCCCAGCUUCCCCCGACUCAGGUCCAGGCGGAGCUGUGGACAAUGUAUUUCGACGGGUCACUCAUGAAAACUGGGGCCGGGGCCGGCCUGCUGUUCAUCUCACCCUUAGGCGUCCACAUGAGGUAUGUAAUCAGGAUUCAUUUUGCCGCAUCUAACAAUGUCGCAGAAUAUGAGGCCCUGGUCAACGGUCUCAAGAUCGCUAUCGAGUUAGGAGUCCGACGCCUCGACGUCCGAGGUGACUCCCAACUCGUCAUCGACCAAGUAAUGAAAACCUCGAGCUGCCACGACCCAAAAAUGGAAGCGUACUGCAAGGAGCUCCGCCGACUCGAAGACAGGUUCCACGGUCUCGAGCUUGUCCAUGUCGCUCGACGCUACAACGAGGCAGCCGACGAACUCGCCAAGAUCGCAUCGACCAGAGGCACGGUGCCGCCUGAUGCAUUCUCAAAAGAUCUUCAUGAGCCAUCCGUCGACCUAGGCACGGGGGCUGGCGUCGACGCCACCACCGCCCAACCAGCCAACGCUGUCGAUACGCUCUUGAUGGUGGAAGAAAUGAUGGGGAUAGAACGACGACCAGGUCGACCAUUCGAUUGGCGCACACCGUUCCUCGACUGCCUUAUCCGCGGCGAAUUGCCAGAAGACAAGUCAGAAGCUCGUCGUAAGGCUCGGCGGGCCAAAUCAUAUGUGAUCUAUGGCGAAGACAACGAGCUAUAUCGACGGAGCCCGACGGGGGUCUUGCAACGUUGCAUCACUGUGGAAGAAGGCCGAAAACUCCUCGAUGACCUGCACUCGGGGGCUUGCGGUCACCACGCCGCUCCACGGACCCUUGUAGGGAACGCUUUUCGACAAGGCUUCUACUGGCCAACGGCCGUGGCGGACGCCAUCGAGCUCGUAAGAUCAUGUCACGGGUGUCAGUUCUACGCCAAGCAGACGCAUCUGCCUGCCCACGCUCUUCAGAUGAUCCCCAUUACCUGGCCGUUUGCGGUGUGGGGGCUCGAUUUAGUAGGACCUCUGCAAAAGGCAAAAGGAGGAUUCACCCAUUCGCUGGUGGCCAUUGACAAGUUCUCCAAAUGGAUCGAGGCUCGACCCAUCACCAACAUCCGCUCCGAGCAGGUCGUCCUUUUCUUUACCGACAUUAUCCAUCGGUUUGGGAUCCCCAAUGUCAUCAUCACCGACAACGGCACCCAGUUCACCGGCAAAAAGUUCUUGGACUUCUGCGAUCGGCAUCACAUCCGUGUGAACUGGUCUGCAGUCGCCCACCCUCGAACUAACGGCCAAGUCGAGCGUGCCAACGGCAUGAUUUUGCAAGGACUCAAGCCAAGGAUCUACAAUCGAUUGAAGAAAUUCGGCAAAAAAUGGGUCGAGGAGCUUUCCUCAGUCCUAUGGAGCCUUAGGACAACACCAAGCAGGGCCACAAAAUACACCCCGUUCUUCAUGGUCUACGGCUCUGAGGCCAUCCUCCCCACAGACCUCGAGUAUGGCUCACCUCGACUCAAGGCCUACAACGAGCAAUCGAACAAAGAGACUCAAGAAAACGCGGUCGACCAACUUGAGGAGGCUAGAGACAUGGCCCUCCUCAACUCUGCUAGAUAUCAGCAAAGGCUUCAACGCUACCACGACAAGCAUGUGCGCAAGAGGGACCUCAACGUGGGCGACCUAGUCCUACGACGCCGGCAAAGCAAUCAGGGACGCCACAAGCUGACCCCGCCUUGGGAAGGUCCGUACGUGGUAGCCGAGGUCCUGAAGCCGGGAACGUACAAGCUGGCGGACGAAAAAGGGGCAAUUCUCACCAACGCAUGGAACAUCGAACAGCUACGUCGAUUCUACCCCUAGAAGUUCUAAACUUAUGUUCCUGCUUACGUUUUGUACCAAGACUUUGUAAACGAAUGAAUGAAUAAAUAAAGUCUUUCCCUCGAAACAAUUCUUCUUUCUUUGCGCCGAGAAGAUUAAUAAAUCACGAUCUCGACGUUAGAAGGGGGCACCGACUAUGACCCAUCAUAGUCAGCACCCCCUCGGGGGCUACCAGGGGGACGACACCCCCCCCCCCGAGUAUCGAAAAAACCGAGAAGUUUUCUUUUCUUACGUAGUAAACCUUGCACGGUUCAAGUUGCUAAGGCACCUCGAGCCCCUCAAAGGCCGAGGGACAACGAGCUGGAGAUUUCCUAUGCCCUCGGGCUACGGAAACUCUACUCGCUUCCCCACCAUUGAAGUGAUCGAGAUGAUCUUUUACGAAAAAUCGAGCAAGGGAUACAAACGUAGGCUCAAAGAGAGACGAAAGCAUCAAGCGGAAAGACAAAAUAAGCAUCUGACAAUUACGAAAGUGAUAUAGCAUCAGUUAACCACAGAAUUCACAAAGUAUUGUACAAGGGGCCUCAGGCGCCCUAAGCAGGCUCGCAGGCCUUAGUCCGCAGCACGAUCCUCACCGCCCUCGCCUCCGCCCGAGCUAGCCUCAGGAGGGAGCACCUCAGGCUCGAAAAGCUUGGCCAACCUUUCCCCAGGAGCCUCCGCGUCGUCGAUCAAGGCAUGGAGCCUCUCCUCGUUCUCCGCGUCGGUCUUGGAGAUGUCGGUGACGAAGCCAUGGGACACCACCUCCAUGUCGUAGCAGAAGCCCGAGCAGACAACCGCCAUCGCCCGCUUCACCCCGAUGUGGAGGGCGUCCCGCACCCGAUCUCGCAGCGUCGCGCCUAUGUAGCACAACUGGUCGACCAGGGCAUCGCCUCGAGUGUCCUCCCUCGACUCAUCCAUAGGCUCGACCUCCCAAGAGGUCGAGAGAUCACUUAUCGCCGUCCGUACUCGACGGUUCAAAGCAACCUCCGCCUCGAGCUGAGCCUUGGCGUUGCGAGCCUCGGCUUGGGCGGCCAGGAGCUCGUCCUUGAGCCCUGUAAAAGCCAAUAUAAAGAGACCUUAGGAAAAACUAAGCACACCUCGGAAAAAGAAAUCUGAUAGAGGAAACAUACCGCGUACGGUCUCCUCGAGGGCCGUGUUCUCGCCAACCAGCCUGGUGUUGGCCCCCUCGAUCUCUUUGUUGGAGCGUGCCAGCUCGGUGUUGGCAACGCGGAGAUCCUCGAUCGCCUUGCCAGCCUGAGCAAUGGCCCCACUCUUCUCCAGCAAUUCUCCCUUCAGACGCUCGACGUCGUUAGAGAGACUGCGGGAUCGAGCCCGCUCCGCCUCGAGAUCUUCGAGGGCCUUCUUCUUGGCUUCGUCCGCGGCGCCCCUGGCGACCUCGCCGUUCACGUGCUCCACCUUCAUCUUUCGGAAGGACUCUCGGAGAGAGUCCAGGUCGGAUUUAAGGAGGCCCUUCUCCUUGUCCAGAUCCGCGAUAACGCUCUUGUAGGACAGGGCCUCCUCCCGGGCUCUGGACGCGGCUUCCUCGACCGUAAGAGCCCGCUCCCGUAGCUGCAUCGUCUCCUCCUCCGCCUUCUUCGAGGCUUCUCGGGCCUCGGCCAAGGCAGCCUCCCUCGCCUUCUUCUCCUCCUCGAGUGCUAUGAGAUCCUUAUAAGCUUUAAGGAGCUUUUCCUGCGACUCGAGGAGUUGAUCCUUGAGGAGGGGAAGCUGCUCCCAGCCGCCUCUCGUGGCGUGUAUGAAACUGGACUUGAUGCGGGAGGUCUCUUUCAUGUCCUGCGAACCAAGGGUUGAAUGGUUAGAACACGAAAACCAAAAGGCACCACAAGGAUUGAAGUUCGAAAAGCACUUACGAAAUAAGCCGGGCCGAGCCCGUUGUUGAUAACGUCUGAGAGGAGCCCCACCACAUGCUUCAUCCAAAGGCGGAGCUCCUCGACGUGCUCCCACUUCUCUGCCUCCUUCCGAUCGUCCAGAAAGAUGUUAGGCUCGGACGGGUCGUGGGAGGCCCGGAUGCGGAUCCGAUCGGGGCACCAGUGCUCCAUCUCCCGGUCGGCCCGUGCCUUGACACCACGGAUGAGAUUCUCGACGGUCUCGAGGGAGCCCCCAUGGCGCAGGAACAGGUCGACGAGGCAUGGGAACCGCCCGUCGUCGUCCACCGUCUUCCAGGUACCGUCCUUGGUCCCCGACGUCCCGAUUUCAUCCUCCUCGGAGGGAAAGCGGUCCUCCCAUGCCCGACGCUCCCGGAGGAACCCUGGGGCGAUCCCGUCCAUGCCGUAGAUCGUCCGCUUGAUCUCGGACUCAGGGUCGGUGGGGGUGCGCAUCAUGCAGGCGAGAGCGCCACCACUCCAUCCGCACGCCCCGGCUCUGCCCGGAUCGCGGCGGGUGCCCCCGGGAGGAGCCACGCUGGGGUCGGGGGGCCGUACACCGGCAAAUCCUCUUCUUGUUCGCCGGGCCCUUGCGGCUCCGGUAGCACUGGCUGGGCCGAACCUUGGGGCGGAGGCUCUAGCGGUCCCUCCUCUUGACCCGCCUGCCGCUGCUGCAGUUGCUGCUGCGGUGGUUGCUGCUGUUGUUGCUGCUGCAGUUGCUGCUGCGGUGUUUGCUGCUGUUGUUGCUGCUGCAGUUGCUGCUGCGGUGGUUGCUGCUACUGUUGCUGUUGCUGCUGCUGCUGUUGUUGUUGCUGCUGUUGCUGCGCCUCAUGCUCUUGUGACCGCCGCGCCGCCUCGUGCUCCCGCUGUUCAUCCUCCUCCCUCUUCUUCCUCAGCUCCUCGAGGGUGCGGAGGCCGGCGGGCCAGGGAGUCGAUCCCGCGACGUUAGGGGUCGACGCUUCCUCCUCCAUAGGGCGAGCGCCCCCAGACGCUUCGUUACCAUCGGACGUAUCGCUGAUGGUGAUGGGUUCCCCCUCGACCCCCAAUCGGGGGGGCUCGGGGGCUCCCUCUGACGCUUGCGUCUGGGGCGCCUCAUCACGAGUCGGCGGCAACGGAGUAGGCGCGGGACGAGGCGGAGCCCUCUCGACGCCGGCUGGAGGUUGGGAGCUGGAGGAGCCUACGAAACAAAGGGUAAGGGUCAGACGUUAUGAUAACCGACACAAGAACAUCGCAACGCCCAGAAAUAAACUACGAACCAGGUUCCUUGGAGGCGGCACCCGUUCUGAGCUUCUUUGCCAUGGACGGUUGGGCCUGCUCAAGGGUCCGCUUCAGCCUGAGAAAAGGUUGGCAUAUGAGGAAAGGUGGAAGAAUGGGAAGACAAAAACCGCAACAUCAAAAAGGCUUACCCCACAGGGAGAACGGCUCGCCUUCCGCCACCCCGACCAGUGGGCCUCGAGCCACCCCGCGUCGGGGCUCCAGGCCCCUCGAGGGCAGGCACUGGCUUAGGCGCGUUGGUCCCCGCCUGGCGGGCGCCGGGACUGGCGCUCCUACGGCCGGCAUCUCCUUUCUCAGAGGCCGCGGCGCGACCACGAGUUAGUGGCCCCGACGCCUGGGGCCUAGCCAGACUGCUCUCCCUGGGCACCGGGGGAGGGCGCGGUGCGUCUUGGCCCGCCUUGGGCGCAGGAGGGGUGUCGGCCCGGGGGCGACGAGAUCCACUCGGACCCUCCUCUGGCGCCUCCGUCCGGGGGGCGUCGACGUCACCUCGAGGCGGGCCCUCGAGAAUCCGAUCGAGGCGCGACGCCAUCCCCUCGGAAUCGUCGCUGUCCUCGUCAUCAUCGUCAUCAUCGUUAGGGGAUUCCUCCUCAGGCUCCCCCCUCUGCCUGGAUUUGGCUCGACGCGCCUCUAAUGCUUGGCGGUCGAGGUUUUUCUUCUUCUCCCCCUUCUUUGCAGAGUCCUUCGCAGACUUUAGCUUUUCGGCAGAUUGGCGCCGUUUGUCACGAUCGACCUCGUCCUCCUUUACCGGAGGCCUCGAGGACCGGACAUCAAUCCGACCCUGCCAAAACUAAGGUAGACUUAGAAAAAAGAGAGGGGAGAAAGGAAACCCAGAAUCGAGGCUGCACGCAAAAAGAAGGCGUACCAGAUCGAUCGAGCCUGCGUCAGGUCUCAUGGGGAAGCCGUUAACAUGCUCCGGCUGAAAAUCACCGGCAAUUGCAGCCCUGACUUAGGCCGCGACUUCGUCGUCCACCGGAGCCUCGUUGGACAUCCGACACGCCUCAAGGUCCCGAGAUGAGACACCAGGGCCCAUCUCGUCCAUCCUCAACGGUCGAGACAUCAAAGGGAGAACUCUCCAGUGAUGGACGGCCGAGAGGACGAGAGCGGCGGUCAAACCCUCCUGGCGAAGCUUCUUCAGGGCGUCGAGGAGGGGGUCGAGCCGAGGUUGAUGAGCUUGGACGACGCCGUAUGUCCAAUCCGCUGGACGCUCCAUGAUCAGACGGCCCGAGUAGGAAGGCAGGAGAUUGUCAUCGUUCCGCAGAUAAAACCACUGGGAGUCCCAGCCGGCGUGGUUGGUCGAUAACCCUACCGGGAUGUACUCCCGCGGCCUGUCCGUCUUCCCCGUCUUCUGCACCAGAUUGAGGCAUCCCGCGCGCACGGGCUUCCUUACGCCCGUGGUUCUGGUGGGGGCAUGGAAAAGCUCGCCCCUGUAGAGGUGGAGCCACAGCUCCCAGUGCGGCAUCAUCCCCAAGUAGCCCUCACAUACGGCGGCGAAGACCGCCGCUACGGUGAUGGCAUUCGGAGAGAAGUGCUGGAGCUCCACCCCAUAAUGGAAGCAGAGGGCCCGCAUGAAGCGGCUCGGGGGCGCGCCCAGGCCGUGGCGGUGGAACUUGGCGAACGACACCACGUAGCCCUCGGGCGGCUGAGGCCUCCUGUGACUCGCUGGCGGCGCGAUCCACUCUGGCGACGAUAGCGAGGUACGGCGGCGCAGCAGUCCCUCUUUCUCAAGCUCUAACAACCAGCGCUCCGUCAUCGACGACGGGCGCCAGUCGUCGGCGGCGACGAGUCUUACAGGCAUCUCGGCUGGAGGGAUAGCGAGAUUCACUACAGCUCGAGGUGGCGUGUGCGCGUGAGACGGCGAGAAAGCGAAGGCAACGAGAGUAAAAGCGAGAAGACGGAAGGGAGAGGAACGGCGGCGACGCCACGACGUAUUUAUAGGCAGCAGUCCGCCAACGGACAGAUCCGAGAAAUAAGGUAACUCCCUCCCAUAAAUGCGCCGUCUAACGGUCCUCUCUCUCCACACAGGCCGGACGCUCCGAAUUCCACGCCAAUACAGUGUCGCAACGUCACUUACCUCAAAAGGUGCGCCCAACGGGCAGAAAGACGAACCGGCACGGCAGUUUCCUUACUUUGUAAGCCAAGGUAUGCGCCCAGGAUAGUCUCGAGAGGUCGAUGGCUGGCCCGUCGAAAGGGUUCGACAGCCGAUCUCGAGCGCCAAGAGUCAGGGAUCCCCAGCGAGCGGUCGAAAAUCGAGGCCCGCCUCGAGGACUCGCUGGCGAUGUCCAAGGUAGGGUCGAGACAGUCGAGAGGAAUCCCCCCGAAGGGAGGCAUCGAGCCGCUGGACUCUAUCGAAUGAGACCAGUAUCCCCGACCACGUCGACCCCGCUUUAUGAGGACGCCUCUGGGCUACAGCUGACUCCCUCGAAAGGGGCACAGGUUCUCACUUGGACUACCCGCUAGGAACUCAAUCUGGGGUGGAAGACGCUCGCUCUAUCGAGAGUACGUCGAAACCUCCACGCAAGGCAAAGCCAAACAGAACCUUCCACCAUGGGUGUUGACAGCGUUUCUGCAAUUUUGGCAAAAUAACCCUCGAAGGAGUUGAAUACUCCCUCGAGGGCUCGGGGGCUACCCCCGCGGGGUCGCUCGCGCGCCCCCGUGGAAGCUCGACCGUAAAAACGAAAGUCUCCACUCGAGCGCCAGCGCUCGAAUGAAGACUCGGGGGCUACUGUCGAGGGUAUCAACAAGGGGUACCCUCACCAAUGCGUAUAACCAGGCCAUCCGUACGCACGCGCGGCCAUCGACGGUCGCAGCCUCGAAGACGGAAAUGCCGUCGAGCGAAUCGGUCAAGGCUCGAGCGACCACUGCCGUCGAAUACGGAAACGGGCUCGAGCGAACCGAGAGGCAUCGAGCGCAAGGACACUGUCCGCCGCCUGACGCGCGCACGGGAGCCUGGGCAUUUAAUGCGCCUGACGCUUCCCCACCUAACACACGGGUCACGGGAGGCUUCUGUCCCAUCGUUCUUUUUGCAGCCUUCCCACCGAACGAUCAGGGGCGUGUCAGGACGCAGGGAACAAGGAUGGAACGUCUAAUCGGGACCCCCUCGAGACCUCCAAGGUCAGCGCUCCAGAUAUCAGCACAUUACACGGCGUCCGACCCUCGACCGAACAGGGUCCCUUCCUAGGGGCAAGUUGGGCGUCGACUGACAACACCACAGCUACCCCGCCGGAUCCGCCGCCAUACCGUACCGGCAUGCGACCUCAGAACCAGCGCGAGGCGGCGGGCAGGGCCGAACGCAGGAGCACGCGUAAUCAUCACCGGGCUAUCAAGAUGGGACGGCUCGAGGCCAUGCCGUACGGAAGCCUCGAGUAGGUCAGCGCUCCAUGCGGCUAUCGACCCCUACUCUAGCGUCUACGCAUGUACCCUGGGUCUCUCCUUGGAGCUAUAAAAGGAGAGACUCAGGAAUAGAACGGGAGGACGAAAACAAGAAGACAAGUCCACGCUCAUGCGUAGUAGAGCUUCACACUUCAUACUACGCUUGUAUUCGCCCCUGUACAAGCACUUAGGUGCAAGAUAAUACAAACUCUCUCCCCCCGCUGGACGUAGGGCCUUCUCUUGCCCGAACCAGGAUAAAUCUCUGUGUCUUCUUGCAUCACCAUCCGGGAAAGGGAGCACGCAUACAAAUUUACUCGUUGGUGUGACCCCCCCCCCGAGGGAAAACACCGACAGUUAGAUUGGAUCUAUAUACAUAUUUAGGAUCGUAUAGCGUUUAUCCAUCGGAUCCAUGUUUAAAUGAUAGAUAUUGUGUAGGCGUGGUGCUUAUACCGUAUUUAUCUGCGAUUGUACCCAAUAUGCCAGAUCGUGGGGUAGUUCGUGAUAGUGACAGCUUCAUUGAUUCUUAUAUAGUCCCCCUCUCGUGUAUUGGGCUGGCAGAGCAAUAUUAUUACAGGGGAGUGAUUGCUAUGUUUCUCAUUUACCUUGCUAAUAUCACUAUGCAUGGGCGUAAUCUUGUCUCGCAAUGAUUGCUAAGUAUGCUUGCACUAACUAUGAUAAUGCUAAACUAUAUAGUUGAGAAUAACUUAGGAAAUAUUCUUGUAGUUUGUUCUAAUUCCAUGCUAAUGACUUUCUAGAGUAUCUAAUUGAGGUGCUUAUCAUAUUUAUUAUGUGGCUAGUUAUGAUCAGAUUAAUUAUCCUUGUCACUAUUCAUUACUUCAUAUAUCCUUUAUGUGACACUUACCCCUGUAUGAAAGAGUUAGAUAAAUGUUCUCAAUUAUACAUGCAAUGAUAGAUGCUCAAUCUCAUAUUCUAUUCUAUAAUCAAUAUUGAUGAUUGCUAAUCUCUUCCCAGUGGUAAAAAUAUAAAUAACGAUACCUGGAAUACUUCCCGGUUAAAAUGCUACAUCAGUAUUAAUCUGUGCGCUUGCAGAUCCCAUUCAUUAUUUAUUUAGAAGAGCAAUUGCAUAUUUCAAUACCGCGUCUCUCAUAUCAUGCUGGGGAUGACACCUUGGCUUAAGUGGUAUGAGGUGUAGGUUUGGCAUUUUUGGCACCGUUACUAGAAUUAGAAAACUGUCUACUUUUGGUAAUGAUGUUAAGAAUACCCAACAUGAUGCAAAGUCAAUUAGCACACCUAUGGGAACUAAUGGAAACUUGGAUAGUGAUGCUAGUGGCAACAUGGUGGAUCAAAAGUUGUAUCGGUCUAUAAUUGGAAGCCUACUCUAUGUGACUGCAUCAAGGCCGGAUGUGAUGUUUAGCGUAUGCAUGUGUGCUAGAUUUCAAGCCUCACCAAGAGAAAGCCAUUUGAAGGCAACAAAAAGAAUAUUGAGGUACUUAAAGCAUACACAAAAUGUUGGAUUUUGGUAUCCCAAAGGAGCAAAUUUUGAGUUGAUUGGUUAUUCUGACUGUGAUUAUGCGGGAUGUAAAAUUGAGAGAAAGAGCACAUCAGGCACAUGUCAAUUAUUGAGAAUGUCACUUGUAUCUUGGUCAUCAAAGAAGCAAAAUAGUGUAGCACUUUCAACCGCUGAAGCAGAAUAUAUUUCAGCUGCUAUUUGUUGUGCUCAAUUACUUUGGAUGAAGGCUACUUUGAAUGAUUUUGGAAUCAAGUUCAAACAAGUGCCAUUGCUAUGUGACAAUGAGAGUGCACUGAAGCUCACUAACAACCCAGUUCAACAUUCAAUAACAAAGCAUAUAGAUGUCCACUAUCAUUUCAUAAGAGAUCAUCAACAAAAAGGGGACAUUUGUAUUGAGAGUGUGGGCCCCGAAGAUCAACUUGCCAAUAUUUUCACCAAGCCACUUGACGAGAAGAGGUUUUGCAAGUUAAGGAAUGAAUUGAACAUACUUGAUUUCUCAAAUAUGUGUUGAUGCACCCCCAAAAUAUGACAUGCCUCACCUUCGAGUAAAACAAGGUACAAUUGUUUGACAUAUCAUCCAUCCUUUGCUAAGGACUUGUUUAGUGCAUCUAGUCAUUCCUCAUAUGUCCUAGGCUCAUUUAUGAAAAUAAAAUGAAUUUGAUGCUUGUAUGGUACCACUAUUGCUUCUAUGUUUGAAAUGAUCUAAUGGUAGCAUAUGACAUGUUUGUGGGCUUGCAAUCCUAGUGUUUGAUCUAGAAAAUGAGCUAUAAGUGUUUAACUCAACAUUGUCAAGAUAACCAUUGAAAUGAGGUGUGAAAAAGAAUGUCAUUGGAUCAAACCGAGUUAAAUAUCUUAGGCAAGUAAUCUAGAUUGAACCAAAUUUGGGAAAAUGAUCCUCACAUAACAUGGUUUCACACAACCUAUCAAAAAUUUGAGCUCACCAUUUGUGGUCAUCGAUGACAAAAUGGGAGAAGUAAUUCACAAAGAUAGGUUUUGCUAAAAGAAGGGGAUCAAAUUAUUUUGAAACACACAAGUAGGGGGAGCAAGCUCAUAAACUUGUAUGUUGCAUUUUGAUGUGCAUUACAUAUGCUUGCUUGCAUAGCACAUUUUCUUUAAUACAUGCUUGCGUGAUGUAUGCUAGUUGUAAAAUUAAUUGAUGAAAUGAAAAACUAGCAUGUAUAGGAUGAUAGUUAGAUGUACCUUGCAUGUUUUUUUGUUUUACAAGUGGUACUAGAGCCUUGUUUAUAAUGUUGAUCUCACGAGGUAUCUAGUGUUUAUGUUUGCAAGAGCUAUCUAACUAAUCAUGGUGCUAAGAAUGGUGUUCAAAUGGCAACUCUGAUUGGUAUCACGCUUCAAAGGUCCAUUCUUUACACCUUAGCAUCAUUUGGUAGUCAUUGUCUCCUAUGUUUCCUAUCUAAGCAUAUGUGCAAGCUUUCAAGUCCAAACUCUUAGCACAUACGUAUGGGGAGCCAUUGCUACCGAUUUGGGUUUAUGAAACUUGUCCAUAUCCUUUACACAUGGUAAAAUGCUUGGGCAAGCAACAUGAAUCUAAAAAGAUUUUAUUGAAUAUCUUUGUGAAAAGGUUGUCAUCAAUUACCAAAAAGGAGAAGAUUGAAAGCCCUAGUUUGGUUUUGGAUAAUUGAUAAAACCUAUGUGUACUAACCUUUGUCAUGAGUAAAAUAUAAAGAUAGGUUGGCACACACCAAGUGAUGGAGCUAGAUGAUGGUCAUGGUGAUAGAGGUGACUAAAAGAUGAUAUUCAAGUGCUCCAACUUGGAAAAGAAGAAAGAGAAAAACAAAAUGAGCUCAAGGCAAAGCUAUUUUUAAUAGGACCAUUUUGUUUUGCCACUCAAGACACCUAGUGGGUGUGAGUGGAUUUAGGAUAGAUAACCGUACUAUAAAGAGGGGAAAUCUUUAAUUGCAAUUGUUAUCUAGUGCCACUAAGUGUGAGUCUCAUUUGCAUUUACCUAGCGCUUAGUGACGUGGUGAGCUGCAUGAGAAAGCCAAUAAAAAUAUUUGUGAAAAGCUAAUUUAAAUGUCCAAUUUUUUUUGAAAUAUUUUGGUAAAGUUAGCUACUUGAAAAGGUGCUAAAAAUUCACAAAAGGAGAACUGUUGUCCAGACGUAAAGGAACUGCAAGCUGCAAAAACAAGUUGAAAGUUUUGUGCAAAUAGCUGAAAUAAACUGGAAGUAGUUGCAACUAGUUAAAAAUAGUGUGCAGUCCAACAGCAAGCAGGAGAAAGAAAGCUGGAAGUAGUUGCGGCCAGUUGGAACCAGUUAAAAUCAGUGCACAACUCAACAGCAAGUAAAUGAGUGUGGUUGCAGAUAACUGGACGCAGUCGCAAUCAGUUAAAUCCAGUGUGCAGUCCAACAGCAUGCAGAUGAAAGAAAGUUAGAAGCAGUUGCAGCUAGUUGGAAUCAGUUGAAAGAUUUUACAGCUGCUGCUUGCUGCCUGUCUCGUGUGUUAGAAGGAAAAGGCAGGGACCAUGCUUGCAUACGUUUGUGGACCUCUUGCCAUAAUAAAUAAGAGAGAGGUGUUUUGCAUGCUUGCAUGCAUGUGAACACACCUUGAGAAAAGGAGACAGCUAUUGACCUAUGCUAAUUAUAGCAUGGGGUCCACUCAAGUACAAGAAGGUACUUACUUAUUUUGAGGUGUUGCUCGUCCAUUCAGAAUGGAGAUUGGCAGGAGUGCAUGCGCGUAGACUGCUAGAGGUUGCAGCUCUUUACCACUUGCUCAUUUAUUUGAUGGGACCCAUUACUAAGAGAAUGCAGAGGGUCACUCAGUGCCUGUGUUGUCCGUUGUGGCAAACAGUACUAUUCUUUUGCCCGUUGGAGAGCUGGCUAGCCAAGGAAAUAUAGGCCGAGUGCUCCCCUUCCUUGCUCUCUCUGUCUCGCGAAUACAGAAUAGAAUACUUCACUUCUUUCUUUCCAGAGAACAGAGAACUCGAGCUCCUCUCUCCCAUCUCUCUCAAGUGUUAAUCCCUCGAGAGAUUUUUGAGAGGCCUACGUGUUUGAUCCAGUGAGCUUGUGAGCAUCUCCUCUGCCUCUCAUAACUUGGUGCUCAUCUAAGAGAGGAUUGAGGGAAACCCUAGGUGCAUUUGAAACUGCAUAUUCUUGUGGUACUAGGUGAUUGUUGAAAUUAUAGAUUUCUUUGCCGUCACCUAGACGGUUGUGAAUUUAUUGAUUUGUGAGGAGAUUUGGUAAUUGUGUCCGCCCUCAGUCAAGGUGAUAUUUGUGAGGGGUUCUUAGGCUUAUUCCCCGGCGGAGUGCCAAAAGCCACUCUAGUGAAUUGCGCGUGUCAUUGAGCUACCUCACUUGUGGUAGGUCCUUGCGGUGCUCGUGGUGAGCUUGGGUGUGGAAUCCCAAUUAACCGCUGGACCAUGAAGUGUUGGUCGACACAAUGGGGACUAGCGUGCCGGCAAGCACGUGAACCUCGGGAAAAAAUAUUGGUGUCAAUAUUGUGAUUGGUAUUCUCCCGGUGAUUAUAUUGAUAUACAUUGUGAUUGCUUCAUCCUCUACACAUCGGUAUAAUUAUCUUUUACCUCUUUACUUUCUUGCAAAUUAGUUGUAACUAGUAGAUCCUAGUUUUAGCUUGUUGUAACUAGUUGUAAAGAGUAGUGACAUAGCCAUUGCUUGUGCCUAAAGAUCAUAGCAACUAGAAUUAUAGGAUAGGUGGCUUGCAACCCUUGUAGAGCUAGAGCAAAAUUGCUUUACGCCUUUUGUUAUAUUAAUCCUUUGCUCUAGUGCCUUGUAGAAUUUUUAAAUAGGCUAUUCACCCCCCUCUAGCCAUAUUAGAACCUUUCACCUAGCCGUCUAGGUGGCAGCAACCACCAAGAGUAACAAGAAAACCAUAGCCAAAUCGAUCCCCAAGUGCCACUAGAUGCAAUCACUCAAGCAAAUUCACUUCGAAUCACUCUCAAUCUGACAAAGAUGGUUAAUCUAUGAAGGAGAUGAGUGGGAGAUGUUUGCUUAGGCUCACAAGGAUGUCAAGUAUGCUAUAAUUCCAAGAGAGUGAGCCCCAAGCCAGCCAACAACUAUUUAUAUGCCCCUCAAACAAAUAGAGUUGUUGGCUCUUUUACUGGACAAAAAUCGAGGCCACCGGACGCGCAGAAGGUGAGUCACCGGACACUCGAACCCAGCGUCCAGUGCUCCAGAUGACACCCACGUGUUAGCUUUUGAAUCUCACGCGUUGAUCUCUAACGGUCACUUUCAAACCACCAAACGCGAUUAAGUAGACAUCGGUCGUGUUCGGUGCACACCGGACCUAUACGCAAAGAGGACUGUAAAAGCACGGGGUCACCAGAUGCGGUCACCGGACGCUCUUUAGGGAGUCCAAUGCUCAGCAGUCAGAAAAUGCUCGCCUGCGUACUUGCUGAUGUCAUACCACACCGAACGCGCGAACGGUGCCUGACUCGCGUCUGAUGUGAGCGUUCGAUGCACACUUCACCUGUGCCGGAAAUCGAGAGUGCACCGGACACACAGGAUCAGCGUCCGGUGAGUGUUUUUCUAGUAAAAAAUACUCUCACGACUUCUCCAACUUUUCACCGGCGCAAUAGAAAAUAUGCGCUUCAUUUUCUCAAAAGGAGAGGAACCCAAACCCCUCUCUACCCUUCAAACUCCACCUCCUUCUUAAAGUAUGCCAACACCACCAUAUGUAUACCAACAUGUGCAAGUGUGUUAGUAUUUUCACAAACAUUUUCUUCGAAGGAGUUAAGUUAGCUCACUAGGUUCUAAAUUCAUGCACAUGAACAAUGACACCUUAGUGGCACUCGAUAACCACUUAGUAAAGAAUUCCCCUCUUUAUAGUACGACUAUCUAUUCUAAAUGUGAUCACACCCUCUAUGGUGUCUUGAUCACCAAAACUAAAACCCUAAGCAAUACCUUUGCCUUGAUCUGCAUAGGGUUUUGUUUUUCUCUUUCUUCUUUUCUAAGUUGAGCACUUGAUCAUCUUGUGGUCAUCACCAUCAUCACCAUGAUCAUCUUUUGCUCCAUCACUUGACAUGUACCAACCUCAUGAAGUCUACACACACUUAGUAUAGAGGUUAGUACUAGGGUUUCAUCGAUUAUCCAAAAACCAAACUAGGGCUUUCACACAUGUAUAGAGUAUUGAAUAUAGACUAUUUAUGAAACUAAAAAUACGGUUAGAGAAUAAUUUGUGAGAUAAAUCUUUUAAGUUAAUUAGUCCAUAAUUAGAUACUAAUUGCUAAAUAAAAAAAUUCUACAAUACUUGUUAAACUUUAACGCUCCAAUCAAACACUUGACACCUUCGACACAUGACACCUUCGACGAUGGUGUCACUGCAUCAGAGUAGAAGGCUGGCUGCUAAAGCCAGUGUCUCCAACCCAACUAUCCAGGUAUAUAAAAUGUACUAAUGUGAAAGCUGGGAGUUACAAACGUUGCAUAGAGCCCGAACCCAGAGGCUUUCGAUAGAUACCAGACUAUCUUUACUACUCCACUGUCAACCACCAAGCAUGAGGCCCUUCAAGCGCUAAUCCAUAAUGGCCCAGAUCCGGUGGUCAUGGAGCUGGACUUCAUAGCAUUGGAGAUCUUUUCUGUUUGUUUAUCUAAAAAAGUCAUGGCUAAAAGUAAUGUUUAUUAAUUUUUUGUAAGAGAAAACCACCACUGGCUGAUAGAAAAAGUACGGCUUAUAAGACAAACGAAUAGAGCCAGCCUGAUUGUUGCCACCGUGCUGGUAGCUCAAUGUUAUUGCCAAGUAAUAUAUUUGUAACCAUAACCUAAUGAGUUCGGUGGGUGUUUGGCUCACCAAUUACCAUCCAUCUUUUUAAUGUUAAACUGUACUUCUGCUUAAUGAAAAACAUGUCUGGCAUGGUAGUGAACACAUAUACAGACCGAGACGGACUCCCUAUAGAGCAAGGUGAGGCAUCCGGCCUACCUCCCCUCUAGUUAGGACCCUAACCUCCCCCUCCCCCUGGGGUGAGCGGACUUGCUUCUCACCGAUGCGCCGACACCUAAGAAUUAAAGUUGACGGACAUGAGAAGCCUGAAUCAUUGAAGGUUGAAGACAACUAUUGGAGUGGGCUUCUUUGCUUUUGGGUUGUUUACCUUUUAGCAUGUUCCAUUACUUGGAUGGAUCAUUGGGCCUCGUUUAGCCCAUCAGGCAUUAGGGGAGGUCGGUUGUCCUUCUCAGCUUGCCACUUCUCGCGAAUAGGUGGACAACAAUGAUGGCAGCAUGACACUCUCACACGAAGGUGGAGCCUCGAGCACUUGGCAGAUCCCGUCACUCGGUGCCUAGGCCUCACCACUCCACGUCUGGGCUUCUAGCUUCUGCCUCUAGCCUCCUCACUCCCAAAUGGUGACUCUCUUUGCUCAACAUUGCGGCUCACUCCUCCUACUUCUCGCCUCACUCCACACACUAGGUAGCUUGCGCUCGCUAGACGACUGUCUGUGUUUUCCCCCCGGGGGGUCACACCAACGAGUAAAUUUGUAUGCGUGCUCCCUUUCCCAGAUGGUGAUGCAAGACGACACAAAGAUUUAUCCUGGUUCGGGCAAGAGAAAGCCCUAUGUCCAGCGGGGGAGGGAAUUUUGUAUUAUCUUGCACCGAAGUGCUUGUACAGGGGCGAAUACAAGCGUGGUAUGAAGUAUGAGAGUUCUACUGCGUAUGGGCGUGGUGUUGCCUGUUGUAUUCCUGAGUCCCUCCUUUUAUAGCACCAAGGUGAGGCCUAGGAUACAUGCGUAGGUGUCAGAACUGGGGUCGAUAGCAGCCUGGAGCGCUGACCUACUCGAGGCUUCCGUACCGGCAUGGCCUCGAGCCGUCCCGUCUUGAUAGCCUGAUGAUGAUUACGCGUGCCCCUGUAUCCCGCUCCGCGCGCCGUCUUGGGCUGGUUCACCGGUCGCACGCCUGUACGAUACGGCGGCAAACCCUGCGGAGUGGUUGUGGUGUUGUCAGUCGACGCCCAGCUCGUCCCCAUGAAGUAGCUACAUCUGGUCGAGGGUCGGACGCCGUGUAAUGCCCUGAUGUCCGGAGCGCUGACCUUGGUUGUCUCGAGGGGGUUCCGAUUAGACGUUCCAUCCUUGUUUCCCGCGUCCUGACAUGCUCUGGGUCGUUUGGUGGGGAAGGCUGCAAAAAGAACGAUGGGACGGGUGCCCGUUUCCUAUCACGUUAGGUGGGGAAGCGUCUGGCGCAUUAAAUGCCCCGGCUCUCGUGCGCGUGUCAGGCGGCGGGCGGCGUCCUUGCGCUCGACGCUUCCUGAUUCGCUCGAGCCCGUUUCCGUAUUCGACGAUAGCUGGCGCUCGACCCCUGAUCGAUUUGCUCGAUGCUAUUUCCGUCUUCGAGGCUACGGCCGUCGACGACCGUAUAUAUAUAUAUAUAUGACCAGAGCGCCGAGUCGAGAGCCUCGACCUACGUACGGGUAAUCUCGCUAUGCGUGUCGGUGAGGGUACCCCUUACUGUUACCCUCGACAGUAGCCCCCGAGUCUCCAUUUGAGAACUGGCGCUCGAGUGGAGGCUUUGUUUUGCGCUUGAAUUUCCGUGGGGGCGCGCGAGCGACCCCGCGGGGGUAGCCCCCGAGCCCUUGGAGGAGUUUUUGACUCCUUCGAGGGUUAUUUUGCCUAAUUUGCAGAAACGCUAUCGACACCAGUGGUGGAAGGUUCUGAUUGGCUUGCCUUGCGCGGAGGUUUGGACGUACUCUCGAUAGAGCGAGCGUCUUCCACCCCAGAUUGAGUUCCUAGCGGGUAGUCCAAGUGAGAACCUGUGCCCCUUUCGAGGGGGUCAGCUGUAGCCCGGAGGCGUUCUCAUAAAGCAGGGUCGACGUGGUCGGGGGUACUGGUCUCAGUCGGGGAUCCCUCUCGACUAUCUCGACCCUACCUUGGACAUCGCCAGUGAGUCUUCGAGGCGGGCCUCGAUCUUCGACCGCUCGCUGGGGAUCCCUGACUCCGGUGCUCGAGAUCGGCUGUCGAACCCUUUCGGUGGGCCAGCCUGCAACCUCUCGAGGCUUUCGCGAGUACGCCCCUUGGCUUACAAGGGAAGGAAGUGGCCACGACAGUUUGCCUUUUUGCCCGUUGGGCGCGCCUCUUCAGGUGUGUGACGUUACGACACUGCGUCGGCGUGGAAUUCAGAGCGCCCCGCCUGUGAGGGGGAAAAGACUGUUUGAUGGCGCAUUUAUGGGGGGAGUUACCUCAUUUCUCAGAUCUGUCCGUUGGCGGACUGCUACCUAUAAAUACGCCGUGGCGCCGCCGCCGUUCUUUCUUCUUCCUUCCGCCUUCUUGCUUUCACCUUUUCGUUGCCUUAGCUCUCCUGCCGUCUUACGCGCGCGUGCACCCCCUCGAGCGGUAGCGAAUCCACCAUCCUUCCAGCCAAGAUUCCUGUGACACUCGUCGCCGCCGACGACUGGCGCCCGUCGUCGAUGAUGGAGCGCCGGUUACUAGAGCUUGAGAGUGAGGGACUGUUGCGCCGCCGCACCUCGCUGUCAUCGCCAGAGUGGAUCGCGCCGCCGGCGAGCCACAGGGAGCCCCAGUCGCCCGAGGGCUAUGUGGUGUCGUUCGCCAAAUUCCACCGCCACGGCCUGAGCGCUCCCUCGAGCCAUUUCAUGCGGGCCCUCUGCUUCCACUAUGGGGUGGAGCUCCAGCAUUUCUCCCCGAACGCCAUCACCAUCGCGGCGGUCUUCGCCGCGGUGUGUGAGGGCUAUCUAGGGAUGAUGCCCCACUGGGAUCUGUGGCUCCACCUCUACAGGGGCGAGCUUUUCAAUGCCCCACCGGAACCACUGGCGUGAGGAAGCACGUGCGGGCCGGGUGCCUCAACCUGGAGUUGAAGACGAAGAAGACGGAGAGGCCGCGCGAGUACAUCCCGGUGGGGUUGUCAUCGAACCAUGCCGGGUGGGACUCGCAGUGGUUCUACCUGAGGAACGACGACGGUCUCUUCCCUGCUUACACCGGUCAUCUGAUCACGGAGCGCCCGGACAACUGGACAUACGGCGUCGUCCAAGAGCACCAGUCGCGGCUCGACCCCCUCCUCGACGCCAUGAAGAAGCUACGCCUGGAGGGCUUGUCCGCCGCUCUCGUCCUCUCGGCCGUCCAUCGUCGAAGGGUCCUCCCUCUGAUGUCUCGGCCGUUGAGGAUGGACGAGAUGGGGCCGGGCGUUUCGUCCCGGGAUCUCGAGGCAUGCCAGAUGUCCAACGAGGCUCUGGCGGACGAUGAGACUGCCGCCCGAGUUAGGGCGGCCAUCGCUGGCGACUUUAAGUCGAAGCACGUCAACGGCUUCCCUAUGAGGCCCGACGAAGGCUCGGUCGACCUGGUAUGCUUUUUCCUCGCACAUAACUCCAACUCUGGAUUUUCCUCGAUCCUUUUUAAACCUUCCUUUGUUCUGGUAGGGAUGUAUUGAUGUCCGGUCCUCGAGGCCCCCUAUGAAGGAGGAUCAGGUCGAUCGCGACAGACGGCGGCAGUCCGCCGAAAAGCUAAAGUCCGCCAAGGACUCUGCAAAGAAAGGGGAGAAAAAGAAGAACCUCGAUCGCCAAGCAUUGGAUGCGCGUCGAGCUAAAUCCAGGCAGAGGGGGGAGCCUGAGGAAGAAUCCCCCAGUGAAGAUGAUGACGACGACGAGGACAGCGAUGAUUCUGAGGGGAUGCCGUCUCGCCUUGACCGGAUACUCGAGGGUCCGCCUCGAGGCGACGUCGACGUCCCUCGGACGGAAGCUCCAAAGGAGGGUCCGAGCGAAUCUCACCGCCCUCGGGCCGACACCCCUCCUGCGCCCAUGGCUAGUCAGGUUGCGCCGCGCCCUCCCCCUGCGCCUAGGGGGGUGGCCAUGCUAGGCCCCAGGCGACGGGGCCUCUGACUUGCGGUCGGGCCGCGGCCUCCGAGAAAGGAGAGGCCGGCCGCAGGAGCGCCAGUCCCGGCGCUCGUCAAGCGGGAGUUGUUGCGCCAAGGCCAGCGCCUGUCCUCGAGGGGCCUGGAGCCUUGACGCGGGGUGGCUCGAAGCCCACCGGUCGGGGCACUGGGAGGCGAGCUGUUCUCCUCGUGGGGUAAGCUUCUUCGUCGUUGUGACAUUUGUUUUCCUAUUCGUCUGCAUUUUCUCACAUGCCGAUCUUUUUAUGCUCAUCCCUUUCUUUUCUCAGGCUAAAGCGGACACUCGAGCAGGCCCAGCCUUCCAUGGCGAAAAGGCUCAAGGCGGGAGCAGUUUCCAAGGAGCCAGGUUUGUGGCUCACUUUUGGUACUUGUGAUGUUCUCAUGUUGGUCGUCAUAGUGACCGGCCUCCAUUCCUUGUUUUGCAGGCUCCUCCGACUCUCGUCCUCUGGCUGACGCCGAGAGCGCCCUGCCUCGUCCCGAGCCUGCCCCGUCGCCGCCGACGCGGGUCGAGGCGCCACAGACUCAGGGGCAAGAAGGAGCCCCCGAGCCCCCCCGAUUGGGGGUCGAGGCGGACCCCAUUACCAUCAGCGACACGUCUGGCGGCAACGAGAUAUCGGGGGACGCCCACCCUAUGGAGGAGGAGGCAUUGACCUCCCUCAUCGCGGGACGGACUCCCUGGCCUGCUGGUCUUCGCGCUCUCGAGGAGCAGAGGAAGAAAGAGGAGGAGGAUGAGGAGCGGGAGCGUAGGGCAACGCGGCAGCCGCAGGAGCAAGGCCGCGGGCAAGAGCCGUAGGAGCACGAGGAGCAACAACAGCAGCAGCAGCAGCAGCAACAGCAACAGCAGCAGGUGGAGCACCAAUAGCAAAUGCUCGAGGUGGAGCAGCAGCAGCAUCAGGGGGGCAAGGAAGAAAAACCGCUUGAGCCCCCGCCUCAAGAUCUGCCUCAACCAGUACCACCAGCGCCACAAGAGCCUGGCGGGCAGGAAGAAGAUCUGCCGGUGUACGGCCCUCCGACCCCAGCGUGGCUCCUUUCGGGGGCGCCCGCCGCGAUCCGGGCAGAGCCGGGGCGAGCAGAAGGUGUGGUGGCACUUGCCUGCAUGAUGCGCACCCCCACCAACCCCGAAUCCAAGAUCAAGAGGACAAUCUACGGCAUGGACGGGAUCGCCCCAGGGUUCCUCCAGGAGCGUCGGGCAUGGGAGGACCGCUUUCCCUCUGAGGAGGAUGAGAUCGGGUCGUCGGAGAGUAAGGAUGGUACCUGGAAGACGGUGGACGACGAUGGGCGGUUCCCAUGCCUCGUCGACCUGUUCUUGCGCCACGGGGGCUCCCUCGAGACCGUCGAGAACCUUAUCCGUCAAGGCGCGGGCAGAUCGAGAGAUGGAGAACUGGUGGCCCGAACGGAUUCGUAUCCGGGCUUCCACCGAUCCGUCCGAGCCCAACAUCUUCCUCGAUGACAAGAAAGAGGCCGAGAAGUGGGAACAUGUCGAGGAGCUCCACCUUUGGAUGAAGCACGUGGUGGGGCUCCUGUCGGACAUUAUCAACAACGGGCUCGGGUCGGCUUAUUUUGUAAGUGCUUUUCGAUCUUUAAUCCUCAUGGGGCCUUUUGGUUUUGUGUUCUAACCAUUCGACCCCCAGCUCGCAGGACAUGAAAGAGACCUCCCGUAUCAAGUCGAGCUUCAUUCACGCCACGAGAGGAGGCUGGGAGCAGCUCCCCGUCCUCAAGGACCAACUCCUCGAGUCGCAAGAAAAGCUCCUUAAGGCCUAUAAAGACCUCAUAGCGCUCGAGGAGGAGAAGAAGGCGAGGGAGGCUGCCUUGGUCGAGGCUCGAGAGGCCUCAAGGAAGGCGGAGGAGGAGACGAUGCUGCUGCGGGAGCGGGCUCUGACAGUCGAGGAGGCCACAUCCAAGGCCCGGGAGGAGGCCCUGUCCUACAAGAGCGUCAUUGCGGACCUGGACAAGGAGAAGGGCCUUCUUAGGGCCGACCUGGACUCCCUCCUAGAGUCCUUCCAAAAGAUGAAGGUGGAGCACGUGAACGGCGAGAUCGCCAGGAGCGCCGCGGAGGAAACCAAGAAGAAGGCCCUUGAAGAUCUCGAGGCGGAGCGGGCUCAAUCCCGCAGGCUCUCUGACGACGUCGAACGUCUGAAGGGAGAGCUGUUGGAGAAGAGCGGGGCCAUUGCUCAGGCUGGCAAGGCGAUCGAGGAUCUCCGCGUUGCCAACACUGAGCUGGCACGCUCCAAUAGAGAGAUCGAGAGGGCCAACACCAGACUGGUCGGCGAGAACACGGCCCUGGAGGAGAGCGUCCGUGGUACGUUUCCACUGUCAGAUUUCUUUUUCGAGGUGUGCUUGGUUUUUCCUAAAGUUUCUUGUAUUGGUAUUUACAGGGCUUAAGGAUGAACUCCUAGCCGCCCAAGUCGAGGCCCGUAAUGUUAAGGCCCAGCUUGAGGCGGAGGUUGCUUUGAACCGUCGCGUGCGGACGACGAUAAGCGACCUCUCGACCUCUUGGGAGGUCGAGCCUAUGGACGAGUCGAGGAAGGAUGCUCGAGGCGACGCACUGGUCGACCAGCUGUGCUACUUAGGUGCGACGCUGCGAGAUCGAGUGCGGGAUGCCCUCCACAUCGGGGUGAAGCAGGCGAUGGCGGUUGUCUCCUCGGGCUUCUCCUACGACAUGGAGGUAGUAUCUCACAGCUUCGUCACCGACAUCUCUAAGACCGACGUGGAGAACGAAGAGAGGCUCCACGCCUUGAUUGACGACGCGGAGGCUCCUGGAGAGAGGCUGGCCAAGUUAUUUGAGCCUGAGGUGCUUCCUCCUGAGGCUAGUUCGGGCGGAGGCGAGGGUGGUGAGGAUCGUGCCAUGGACUGAGGCCUGCGAGCCUGCUUCAGGGUGCCUGGGGCCCCUUGUAUAAUACUUUGUUAAUUCUGUUUUUAAGCGAUACAGUAUCUUUUUGUAAUUGUUAAAUGUUUAUUUGUCUUUCCGCUCGAGGUUCUUUUAUUUCUCUUUGCGCCUACGUAUGUGUUCCUUGUUCGAUUUUUCGUAAAAGACAGCUUCGAUCACCUCGAGGGUGAGGGAAUGAGUAGAGUUUCCACAGCCCAAGGGCGUAGGAGUUCUCAGGCUCGUUAUCCCUCAGCCCUUAAGGGGCUUGAGGCGCCUCAACUACUCGACCAUGCAAGGUUUACUAAGUAAGAAAGAGAGAAAAUUUUGGCUUUUUUCGACACUUGGGGGGGUCGCCCCCCUGGUAGCCCCCGAGGGGGUGUUGACUAUGAUGGGUCAUAGUCGGCGCCCCCUUCUAACGUUGAGAUUAUGACUUGUAAAGCUUUGGUACAGAAAGAAGUUGCUCGAGGGAUGGACUUCAUCUAUUCAUACAUUCGUUUACAAAGUCUCGGUACAAAAUAUACGUAGGAACAUAAAGUUUUGAACUUCUAGGGGUAGAAUCGACGUAGCUGUUCGAUGUUCCACGCAUUGGUGAAGACCGCCCCCUUCUCGUCCGCUAACUUGUACGUUCCUGGCUUCAAAACCUCGGCCACCACGUACGGGCCUUCCCAAGGCGGAGUCAGCUUGUGGCGUCCUUGAUUGCUUUGCCGUCGUCGCAGGACAAGGUCACCCACGUUUAAGUCCCUCUUUCGUACGUGUUUGUCGUGGUAGCGUCGAAGCUUCUGCUGGUAUCUGGCAGAGUUGAGGAGGGCCAUGUCUCGAGCCUCCUCAAGUUGGUCGAUUGCGUUCUCUUGAGUUUCCUUAUUCGACUGCUCGUUGUAUGCCUUGAGUCGAGGAGAUCCGUACUCGAGGUCCGUUGGGAGCACGGCCUCAGAGCCAUAGACCAUGAAGAAUGGGGUGUGUUUGGUGGCCCUACUUGGUGUUGUCCUUAGGCUCCAUAGGACCGAGGAAAGCUCUUCGACCCACUUCUUGCCGAACUUCUUCAAGCGAUUGUAGAUCCUUGGUUUGAGCCCCUGCAAAAUCAUGCCGUUGGCGCGCUCGACCUGGCCGUUAGUUCGAGGAUGGGCCACUGCAGACCAGUUCACACGGAUGUGAUGCUGAUUGCAGAAGUCCAAGAACUUUCUGCCAGUGAACUGGGUGCCGUUGUCGGUGAUGAUUGCGUUGGGGAUUCCAAACCGAUGUAUGAUGUCGGUGAAGAAAAGGACGGCUUGCUCGGAGCGGAUGUUGGUGAUGGGUCGAGCCUCGAUCCAUUUGGAGAAUUUGUUGAUGGCCACCAGCAAGUGGGUGUACCCACCUUUCGCCUUUUGCAGGGGCCCCACUAAGUCGAGCCCCCACACCGCAAAUGGCCACGUGAUGGGGAUCAUCUGAAGAGCGUGGGCGGGCAGAUGCCUCUGUUUGGCGUAGAACUGGCACCCAUGACAUGAGCGUGCGAGCUCGAUGGCAUCUGCUACGGCCGUUGGCCAGUAGAAACCUUGUCGGAAGGCAUUCCCUACGAGGGUCCGUGGAGCAGCAUGGUGGCCACAAGCCCCCGAGUGUAGGUCCUCGAGUAGUUUCCGGCCUUCUUCCACGGUGAUGCAACGCUGCAAGACCCCCGUCGGGCUUCGUCGGUAUAGCUCAGUGCCUUCACCGUAUAUCACAUAUGACUUGGCCCGUCGAGCGAUUCGGCAGGCUUCAGAUCGAUCUUCUGGCAGCUCGCAGCGGAUUAGGCAGUCGAGGAACGGUGUGCGCCAGUCGAACGGUCGACCGGGCCGCCGUUCUACCUCCAUCACCUCAGCUGCCAUCAAUAGUGCGUUGAUGGUGUCGGUUGGCUGGGCGGGAGCGGCAUCAACGCCGGCCCCCGAGCCCAAGUCGACGGAUGGCUCGUGAAGAUCUCUCGAGAACGCGUCAGGCGGUACCGUGCCUCGGGUCGACGCGAUCUUGGCGAGUUCGUCGGCUGCUUCGUUGUAGCGUCGGGCGACAUGGACGAGCUCGACGCCAUGGAACUUGUCCUCGAGUCGACGGACUUCUUUGCAGUACGCCUCCAUUUUCGGGUCGUGGCAGCUUGAGGUCAUCGUUACUUGAUCGAUGACGAGUUGGGAGUCGCCUCGGACGUCAAGGCGUCAGACUCCUAGCUCGAUGGCGAUCUUGAGACCGUUGAUGAGGGCCUCGUAUUCUGCGACAUUGUUGGAUGCAGCAAAGUGAAUCCUGAUGACGUACCUCAUAUGGACGCCCAAGGGCGAGAUGAACAGCAGGCCGGCCCCGGCCCCCGUUUUCAUGAGUGACCCGUCGAAAUACAUCGUCCAUAGCUCCGCCUGGACCUGAGUCGGGGGGAGCUGGGAGUCCGUCCAUUCCGCGAUGAAGUCCACCAGGGCUUGCGAUUUGAUGGCCUUAUGAGGCGCAUAAGUGAGAGUCUCACUCAUAAGCUCGACCGACCAUUUAGCUAUUCUUCCCGUGGCCUCCUUACUCUGGAUUAUCUCGCCCAAGGGGAAAGACGAGACCACCGUGAUGGGGUGACCAAGGAAGUAGUGCUGCAGCUUGCGGUGUGUGAGGAUUACAGCGUAGAUCAGCUUCUGAAUUUGGGGGUAACGUGCCUUGGUCUCCGAGAGUACCUCGCUGACGAAAUAGACUGGCCUCUGGACUGGCAAUGCAUGCCCCUCCUCCUGCCUUUCGACCACCACCGCCGCACUGACGACCUGGGUCGUCGAGGCAACGUAAAGGAGCAGUGGUUCUGCAGGCUGAGGUGGGACCAGGACUGGCGCUUGUUGAUGGUCCUUAAGUACUAAAAUUAAUAAUCAAAUAAACAUGAAAAAGGAUCAAUAUGAAACAAACAUCUAGAAUUAGGGUUUUAUCUGACAGAAUUCCACGAGUUUUGGUGUUUAUCUAUUUCUGCAGGGAGUUAUCAGAAAAUAUGGAGAGAAGGCCCACAUGUCAUGUUUACAACGAGAUAAUUACGUGCCGCGCAAUUUUCCUCAAUCUGGAAGGGUCUAGAAGCCACUGGAACGAACGGGAAGCGAUUCGGGCUCGGGGGCAGGGCGCCCGCCCACCCCCCUUGGGCGCCCGCCCAGGGUUGGAGGCCAAACAGGACUCUGCUUCGGGGCAAGACUCCACCGACCUAAAGGAUCAAUCUAAACCAUACAAUCUAUGUCGGUUUGAUCCAAUGGCUCACGUUCACUUGAGGGGACUAUAAAACCAGACCCCCUGGCCCCUGGAGGAAGAGAGGAGAAAUCAUUAUUCAGAGGUAGCCAUCAAAGUUAGGGUUUAGAGCUUCUCUCCCACAGAGAAUUAGAAUUAGCUACUCCCUAAUCCUUCAAGUUUAGAGGUUGAUUAGAUAGCAUUUAGAGAAGUAGAGCACUACGCUCUGGAUUCGGAUCUUCGGCAAUAAAGAUUGGUAUUAUUCAUAUCUUUCUCUAAUUCUAUUGUUCUAAUUGCAUUAUGUCUCUAAUUAUUAUGUUCUUAGUUUGCUCUAGUUCUAUAUUUGAUAUAGUUCUAAUUGAUAAUGAGUUUAUGUAUAAGUUUGCAAAGCGCUUAGCUCUUGUCGCGAGGGAGUUAAGUGAUAGAUCACAUGUGAGCGUGGUGCUUAGAUGUUAUUUAUCUGCAAAUGUAUCCUAUUGGCCAAGUCGUGUGGUAGUUCGCGAUAGUGACAGCUUCGUUGAUUCUUAUAUAGUCCACCCUCCGUUGCUAGGACAGGCAGAACCGGUAUUGUGGAGUAAGUCAUGCGAUGUUCUGAUUUACUUUAUCAAUGUUCCUUAUACAUGAAUGAAGAGUCUUUUAUGCUAUAUAUGAUCUUGUAGAUAACUAGAGUAGAUUAUGACUUAGUAGUUAGUAGAUAACUUAGAAUCCAUUCUCUAGCUAAUCCGACAUCACCUACAUAUAUGAGGAGUAGUCUAUUUUCUAAUCGCUGUGCUAUCUACCCAUGAACUUAUACUUUAUUAUCAUUAUCUUUAUGGUUUACCCCCUGCUAAAGUAAGUGACUGUGUGACGAGUUUCUCAUUAGUAAUCAUGUUCUUGCAAGUUUAUCUCUAGUCUAUGCCUUGAUAGAUUUUGUCCCUUGAUUUAAUUCCAUCUUCUUUAGAUCCCUAGAGCAAAAUUAUAAAUAACGAUACCUGGAAUACUUAUCCUGGUGAAAUGCUACAAUGAGGUGUUUUAUCUGUGCGCUUGCGGAUAGAAUAGAUUAUUUUCUAGAGAGCCUUUACAUUUAUAAAUACCUUUGUACACUCUGGCGCCAUGCUAGGGAUGACAACCUAGUAUCUAAGUGGUGUUAGCUAGUGUCAACAAGCAUUUCUGGCGCCGUUGCCGGGGAAUUAUAGGAUCUUAUAGGAAUUAUACGAGCCUCAGGAAUAAGUCAUUAAAGGGAACAAAAGGGUAAUAUUAAGGAAAGCCAGAAAAUCAAUCAAGGUUAUUCAUAUAAAAUUUUAGACUAGACUAUAGAGAAAUAAUUGCAUAAAACAGCUACUAAGUGAGAAAUCAUAACAAGGCACCUCUGCUUUGGCAAGUUCACCCUGUUGUUUUUCUAUGUUUAUAUUUUAUACAGGGUAUAACAGGAUUGACUUUGGGUACAUUCGACUCUUCAUCAUCAGAACCAAAGCAAUCAAGAGAAGAAGAAGCUAGCUACCAAUUGCUGAAGCUAUGGCACAAAAGACCUUGCAAGAAUUCUCUGCUCCAAGUCUUGACAACAUUCCAAUUGGUCCAAGAUUUGCAGUAGAAGAAGGAAUACCUGAGUUUGAGCUCAAGUCAAACCUCAUCAAUUUGGUACAAGCUACACAAUUCAGUGGAAAGGCACAUGAAGAAGCCAGUGCACACUUACAGAAUUUCUUAGAGAUUGGAAGCACAAUCCACAUCAACGGAGUUGACAAAGACGUCAUAUUGCUUCGCCUUUUUCCAUUCUCACUAGAAGGAAAAGCGAGGAAGUGGUUCUACACUCAUCAAGAUAACAUCAACAACUGGACGAACUUGUCAGAUGUCUUUCUAUCAAAGUUUUUCCCUAUAGGCAAAACAACUGCCUUAAGAGGAAAUAUUGUCAGUUUCCAACAGCAGAAAACAGAAGCCAUUUCAGAAGCAUGGGAGCGUUUUCAAGGAUACAUAUCAGAUUGUCCUCACCAUGGAAUGGCUACAUGGUUACUUAUGCAGACCUUCUACCAUGGAUUAACCUAGAAGACUCGUGAGUGCCUAGAUGCAUCUGCUAAAGGAUCAUUCUUGGAGCUUACAACUGGAAAAGCAGAGAUACUUUUGGAUAAGAUAGCAGAAAACCAAAGCUGGUUCCAAGAUAAAGCUCAACAAUGUCAUCAAACUGAAGAAAUACCAGAAGAAGUAAAAGCAUUAUCAACUAAGAUGGAAAAUUUGCUCCAUUGGAUUGACCAGAGGGCCAAGUUCAAAGAAGAUCAAAGGGCCAUUGAGACAGCAUACAAAUAUCAACCAACUUCAAGUCAACCCAAUAGCAAAGGUAUGAAUUCAGGUAAUACUGUCAAGCAACUUUCAUUAAAAGAGAUAAUUGCUCAACAAACCAAAAUUAAUGAUGAAGUUAAACAAAGGCUAGAUACAAAUGAAUCAUCUCUAAAAGAUAUACACAAUAAAAUGAAUUUUCUACUAACUGCCUUUGAUGAGCAAAACACUCUUAAUAAAAGGGUAGAACUUAAAUUAAUAAAGAUAGCUGCUGCACUGCCUGUUGCUACUAACAUUGAGCAGGUAAAGAAUAUAACUACUAGAGGAGGUAAAGCUACCAGAGAUCCACCAUACCCAAAAGAGAAACAAAGAACAUCAGCACCAGUGCAACCAGCAGUGAUAGAAGAAGAAGGCCCAGUUGAAGCAGAAGAUCUGCUCCAACCACCAAGAACUGGAGAAAUGAGGAAAGAUUUUUACGACAACAACUAUUUGCCAUUUCCCAGAAGAAACAGAGGACUGCAGUCGGAUGAGCAGUUUGGUAAGUUUGUAGAGGUCAUUCAGAAAUUAUAUGUCAACAUACCUCUGCUCGAUGCCAUACAGGUACCUACAUAUGCAAAGUACAUCAGAGAUAUUCUUAACAAAAAGAGACCACUGCCCACCACUGAGGUUAUCAAGCUGACAGAAGAAUGUAGUGCGGCCAUCCUCAACAAACCACCAAAGAAGAAGGAAGAUCCCGGAUGUCCCACUAUUGAUUGCUCAAUUGGAAACCAACACUUCAACAAUGCACUUUGUGAUCUCGGAGCAAGUGUCAGUGUGAUGCCAGCAUCAGUCUACAAAAAGCUUAAUCAUGCAACCCUAGAACCAACAUCAAUGUGCCUACAACUAGCGGAUCAAUCGAUUCGACACCCAUUGGGCAUCGCCGAGAACAUUCCAGUCAAGAUCAGAGAUUUCCUUAUGCCAGUAGACUUCAUAGUACUGGACAUGAGUCCUGACUCAAAAGUAUCCAUCAUCCUUGGAAGGCCAUUUCUGAGCACUGCCAAUGCCCACAUUGAUGUCGGAAAAGGAGAAAUCAAGUUCAACAUAAACGGUCAAGAAGAACACUUCACAUUCAAACCCAGAUUAGAGAGAGACUCUACAGUGAAGGAAGUUCAUGAAGAACCACUGGAGACACCAUCUCCGGAGGAAGGAAACUCAGAAGGUUAAAAGAAUUGGAGGUCCAGCUUGGGGGACCUAAAAAUCCCAAACCCUCACCAGGAGGUAAAUCGGUAUUUAUCCGCAUUAUUAUUUUUCUCAUAUUUAAUUUCUUGCAUAAUUAAAUCUUGCAUUAGUCACAUUUAUUCAUAGCAUUAUUAUAAUAAUCAAAAAGCCCCAGAUAAAUAAUAUUCGUGGUGUGUAACAACCCAUAUUUAUUAAUUAUUGUGGGGGCACAAAAAUAUUUUCCAAUACCAUUUUCAAUAAGUUUCGAUUCUCAUAGAUUUUCCUGCAUUAUAUUUAAUCAUAUAAAUCUUCUAGAAGCAUGACCCACACUCUUUGGGUCCCACAUGUCAUACACUUCAUCUCACAUACAUCCCAUCACAUAAUUUCAUCCACCAAUAUGUUUCCACUCACCUGACAUCUUUCCACCGUCCAACCACCACCGACACAAUAUUAUUCUGCGUGAGAUCAAAGCAAGGAAGCAAGUGGAGGAGGCACACCCAGGAUGGGCAUCACAAGUGGGCGCCCGCCCACCUACCAAGGGCGCCCGCCCUGUCCCCUCUUCCUCCUAUAAAAGGCCACCUCCAGCUCCCCUUCUCUUCACACAAACACUUCAGAAAACCACACAAAUCUCAGUUUCCUGAGGAGGAGCUUUUGUAGUAAAGAGAAGAGAGUAAAAAGAAAGAGGAGAGUGGAAGAGAAGGUUGGAGUUCUUAUGAGAGAGUGUUUGUCACCUAGCAAGUAGUGAUCCCGUUGUCUAAGCGGAAGUAAAAGUUGUUUAGGGGGAGGCUCUACCAAAAUAGAAACUUGUCUUGAACAAUUAACCCCUUACUACUGACACUCCGGACAGCUAACCACUAACAUUUUAUCUCACAUUUUCCACCAGUUGUGUUUUUGCCAACUUUUGUUUGCAGGAUGUUUAAGAAGGUGAAAAAUGCAGGGAAGGCUCUCAAGAACAUUGGUACAAGGAGUUCAACCCGACACUCCUCACAGCCAUCAGAGAUGAGCGUCGAUCCGACACCCACACAAGCUCCAUCAUCUUCAUCAGGCCAGCAAGUCAAGGUCCUUCUCAAGAUAGGAGACCUUGGACUGAAGACCCGAAGAGAGAAGGAAGUCUAUCAGCAAUUGAAGAAUAAAUAUUUCAUUCACACUCCUACUAUCGAUCCAAUCCUACUACGAGAAACAGGUAUGGACACUGAAUUUGACUUAAUUUUUCAAAUGAUGGGUUGGACAAAUUUUUGGAAUAUAACUGAGCUGGGUUCUCGUCUUCUCACCCUCGAAUUUCUUUGCACUUUACAAUACUAUGAGGGGGGGAAUUGCUUUUCGGAUGUUUAAACAGGAAAUUAUGUUAUCUUGGAGAGAGCUGAGCGACCAUCUUGGUUUCUCUACAAGAUGCAUCCUGAACAUUGACUCCGAUUUACCCAAUUUUGAGAGACACCAGUUUUGGAGAGAAAUAUCUAGAGAUAAUUUUUACAGUCAAGCCCGAACCAGUGACAUGGAACACCCCACUCUUAGGAUGUUUCACAAAUGGCUUGGGUACAAUCUUUUCUAUCGCGAUGAUAUUAGGAAAGUAAGAGUAGGAGAUUUACAACUUUUAUAUGCUGCUAUUAGUAAAGUACCCACUUCACCUGUCACACUAUUAGUUUCACAUUUGCUUAGUAUACCUAGUCUUCAGGGACCAGUAGGAUGUACUUCACUUAUCACUCGUCUAGCCUCUAAUCUUCAUUUAUUAGAAAACUCAUCGUUGGACUUCAUAGAAGAAUUAAGAAUUUAUCAUGGCUAUGACACAUUUAGACAAGCUCGGAUGUUAAAGAAAGAGGGAAAUAUAAUGUACAUGUUGUAUGAUGAUAAAGGCAAGAUUCGGUUACCUAACCCGAACCUUGGCCUCUAUGCUGUGCAAAACUUUUUGAUUGAGAUUGCAGCAACACCAGUGAACCAGAGAACUCCAUAGCGAGUGGCAUCUGAAAGGAUAACCACUCACCGAGAACGCACUUGGUAUGGAGCUGACCCUGGACCAGAAGAAGCAGCGCACCUGCAUUAUUGCGAUUACAACCCUCGAGUCCUUCGAGACCCAUGGGCUCGUCAUGCGCAACCACAAGAGCCAACAGAAGAGACAUGGCCGGAGAGCCAAGAUCACCAGUGGACAAACCCGCCUUUUCAUACGGGCAGGUACUCCACUGAUCCAUAUGGAGCUUCAGGAUCCAGACCUCCGCCCCAAUUUGAUGCAGGACGAUACUCCGACGCCUCCUACGCCUUCACGAAUGACUAUUAUCAAGAGGCCGGUGCUUUCUUCACUCGUACCGACAACACCCUCCUCGACAUCCAGAACACGCAAGCAGAACAUGGAAGACUCCUGGAAGAGCAACAAAAAUGGAACCAGGACCAUGCCGCUGCAGUAGAAGAGCUGAGACAAGAUACAACAACAAUAAACGACAACAUCACAACUAUGAUGCGGUUCUGGAACAUCGGGUAAGAUCGACGGCAACAUCUAGCUUGGGGGAGUUCCUCCCUAAAUUUAUCGAGUAAGUUUUUAUUUGCUCUUCUUAUUUAUUCUUUUUUUAUUCUAGUAUUUAAUUUACCUUAAAAGGAAAAUUUAGAAAACCAAAUAAAUAUUUUCUUGCUUUAAUUUACUGCACUUUAUAAACACGAAAACAAAAUAAAAAGAGUGUGUAGAUAAGUGUGUUUUAUUUUUUCUGCUAAGUUUAAUCUCUAGAAAAAAUAAAAAAAAGACCAAAAAUAUACAUGAUGGAAAUGAUGAAUAGUUGCUCUGUUUGCUUACUUACAAGUACCUAGCUUUUAUAUUAGAAUUCUUCCAGGAAUUACUAAAACUAAAAUUACUAUCUUUGGGAGGCAUAAAACUAAAGUCUAGGUAAGAGAAAGGCAUGAUAUAAAGUUGAGCUACUGUUUAUCUUGUUUCUACUACACUAAGUUCUGGAGAUUUAUUUUGAAAACUUACAAAUCGCAUGAUGAGUUCCUAGCAUAACAAAACUACCUACCACAGCCAUACUUGCUAUAACAACUUUUACUAUAUUCACAUUGAGUUUGAUCGAGCUGUGUAGACCCUUAGGAGCUUUUCAUGUGGUUAAAUUAAGAUAUUCACUUGCACACAUCUACCACAGCAUUCAUCACCAAUCAUUAAAAUUGCUAAAAAUAUUAUCACUCAUUGUCCCGAAUAUUGUUAUUCUCUCGCUAAAAAGAUUCAAUGCAGAAGAGGCAUGGGUUAUGCAAAAAUAUACGAGGAAAUAAAAAAGGGGCAAGUGCCUGGAACCUCGAAAAAGAAAGAAAAAGAGUGAGACGAGAGGUAAAAAUGGACAAGUGUCCGAAGUAGAAUUAGGGGUACAAAGAUGCCCACUUGAGCGGAAAAAAUGGACAAGUGUCCGACAGUAGAAUUAGGGGUAUCUACUACCCAUCUCUAAAAAAAAGAGAAAAAGAUAGCCCAUGUUCUCCCAAAGCAAAGAUCAAAGAAGAGGAGAGAUAGCAAUACGAGGAGCGAUGAGAACCAAAUUUUAUUAUCACUUAUGCAUUUCCACCAUCAUUAUCAUUUACUCCACCACACAUGCACAUCUUGAUUUAAUUAUAUGCUGAGUUCCUUUGGAUCCAUGGCUCGAUUAGACAAUAUAUGUAUGAGCUGUUUUCCACUCCUAUGAGCUCCACUUAAAUAUUCCAUUAGCUAUAGGUAAGUGAUAUCAUGGUAAGGAUCCACAAAUACCACAUAUAGAGAGACCUGAGAGAAUCAUUGCUGGGAACUCUGAGUUUUAUUUUGAAAAUUUAUGAAAAACUCUAGAACAAAAGUGAAGUAUAGACAAGAGGGAUAGUGCUUGACUUAACUAUUUUGUCUUUUGAUUACUUAAGAUUUAAGUGCAGGUACUAAACUCCAUAACACUUCACUUUAAUCUGGAAGAAUUUUUAUGUACAAGCAUGUGUACC